RNAcentral lists this long non-coding RNA (46267 nucleotides) under Malus domestica (apple). Its description in RNAcentral is "long non-coding RNA (MDOM_LNC009451)". The stretch from base 7996 to 8073 matches the Rfam family "Small nucleolar RNA U54". Lineage: Eukaryota; Viridiplantae; Streptophyta; Magnoliopsida; Rosales; Rosaceae. The record is from RNAcentral.
AGCCAUCGCCAAGUGCAUGGUGAAGCUUGAAUAUUAGGUUACCAGCGGCAUUGGAAGUUGGAUAUUUGACUAUGUGAACUUCCCACAGUGGUUUGUCUUCUGGGUAAUUUUCCAGUACUACUUUUGAUAUGUAGUCACCGAGAUAAAGGUCGUAAGACUCAGAUGACAAUACCCCAGAGGGAAAAAUAGGGACGUGAACAUGAUCUGUGAGCUUCACCUCAACCUUCUUCCAUUGUUUCUCUCCGUCGACGUCAACCUGCGGAGGAUUUUUCAAAUUUAAUAUUAAAUUAGUUUCCUAAUUAUAAUCAUUACCAUGAUAGGAAAAAGUGUUUUCUAACAUUCAAAAGCAAUUAUAACUAUUUUUGGCGAAAAGAACUUCAAAGCAUUUAAAUUUUUAAUAAAAGUUCACAUUUCUAAUAAAAGAAUUUAUAUGUAUGUUAGAAGUGUCUUUUAGAUAAGCAGUUUCAAACAGACUUUUAAUUCAAUUUGAGUAAUUAUUUAGUGUAAGGACUCUAAGUCUUUAUUUUGAGUUUCUACUGUACGUUUUGAGUUCGAAAAACUCCCCUUCCCUCUCCGUUAAUAAGUAUAAAUUUAAAAGAAAAAAAUUUGAUAUAUAAUUGAGAUGUUUAUGACUAAAUUUCGACAUCUCAAAUAAAAGCAUAUGAACAAAAUUGAGUGAGAGAGAGAGAGAGUACCAUGAUGGAGCAGAAGCGUGGGUUGAUGUGGAGGAAGACAUCCUGAAGGAAUGACAUGAUCUUUGAUUCAUCGAUUGGAACCUCAGAUUCCAAAACACCAAGAACUGACAUGGAUAACACCGAGGUAUUGAGGCAUUGCCCAGUAGGACUCACCGGCUCAUUGUAAUAAUCUCCAUCAUCAACCUUAAUAAACUCCAUCUUUUUUCUCUCUCUGUCUACGUUAACAACAAAUUGUAGUGGUUUAGUUCAUUUGGGGUUGCUGCAUGCAUCUUAAUUUAUAGGGUAUCUCUUACGCACGAAUGUGAGUAAAAUGGUCAUUUGAUUCAAUUAAGAUAUGAAAAACGACAAACUAUCAAGCAAAGGGACCCAUUUUGUUAGUCUAGUCGCUUUAUACAGUCCUCUAAGAAAUUAAGAACCCGAUGUACGUAGUUGGUGGUCAAUGUUUAAAAUGUUUUAAUUACUAAUAAUUUGCUAUGCAUUUUUAUCGUUGUUCGCACAUGUCGAGUAUUAAACUGUCCAGCCGAUGAGAAAGAAUUGUAUGGAACAGAUACAUGGUUACAUGAUGUUUCGUGCAUUAUAAGAACAUGUGAUUUUUUUUUUUUUUUUAGUAAUACUAGGGAAACUAAAUUUGUAGACAAAAUUUGCAAACUAAAUAAUGUGUCACAAAUAGAAAUGAACACAUUUAUCAACGCUCAAGUAAUAAUCCAAUCAUCAACUUCCAUGUCAUUUAGUUUACAAUAUUUUGUCUACAAAUUUAGUCUCUCUAGUAUUACAUUUUUUCACAUUAUUAUACUGACCACACGAGGAGAAGGACUUGUAUGGCACGGGUACACGUGGUGUAUUGUACCAACAGUACAAGAACGUGUGUUUGUUUUUUACAUAUACUUUUAUGUUAUUAGCACGAGACGCCACCAUAACAAUGAACCAGUGCCAUAUGCAAGUCUUUUCUUAGGCGAGGCGACCCACUAACUAAUUAAUAUAUGGGACAACCUGUUUGGAAUCCCCAUGAAUAGGAUCAAACCUUAUUCCAUGGUAUUUACAUUGAGAUUUUUGUUUCUUAUUCUUAAACAAAUCCUCGAUAGGGCUUAGUUGGUUACCUUUUCGUUUGUUUCGAGAAAUAUUGCUCCAUGAUUCAAACUCAAAUAUAGUUCCGAUGGUAAAACUUACGAUCAUUAAUGUUUUUGGGCGAGCAAAAUUUUCAAGAAAAAGAAUCGGCUCCUUAAGGAUUGAGGAAGCACUACUCCUCUGAAGACACCUUGUAGCGAAUUCAUAAAACUUUAUGCUUAUAAUCGAAACCGUUUAUAUUAUAAGUAACUAUUUAAAGGUUAUCCCUGCAAAAAAUUAAAAAAUAUGUGAUCAUUUGGCAAUCGAACUGUAUAAAAACAAAUGGUCUGUAUCAGUAAAAGUAUUAUGAACUUUCUAUCUAUUCACUAUUAUGAAUGACUAAAUGACAAUGGUUUUAAUUGAUUUUUUUACAGAACUAAUCUUUACAUAGUGACUUAUAAUAUGAACGGUUUUGAUAAUAAACACGCACAAAGUUUUGCAAAUUAGUCACAAACAUUGGCGGAGCUAUAAUUUUACGUGAGAAUAUGCCUCACAUAAAUGUUAAAAAAAUAAAAUAAAUAGUUAUAAGAGAGUAGUAGUUGUGAGCUAAAUAAAUAUUUUAGCACUACAUGUUUGUUUUCAUGUUGAAUUAACCUUCCAAUAUCAAGUCGACAUAGAGAGUAAUUAAUUAAAAAUUAAAGAGGAUUAAGAGAAAUUAAACUCCAAUAUCAACUCAAUGAAAAAUGAUAGGAAGACCAGGUUUAUAGACUAUAUUUGGAGAUUACAUUAUGCAGCGGUUAAUAAUUGGAUUUCUUCUUUAAAGCAUUAAAAAAAACUUAUAUGGAAUAGAAACAUCGUUACAUGGGGUCUCGUGCAAUAUAUUUGUUAGUUUUUUUUAACAUUAUACUAACCAAGCAAGGAGAAGGACUUAUACGUCACAAGUACUCUUCCAUGCGGUGUCCUGUACCAAUAGAACAAGGACAUGUGUUAGUUUUGUUUUCACAUAUUUUUAUGUUAUCGGCACGGAACGCCAUGAUAACAACAAACCAAUGCCAUAUAUCUACAUGUCUCCUCUUACGCGAGGAGAGCCUCUAACUAAUUAUUAUAUGGGACAACCUAUUUGCUCCAUGAUUCAAACUCGAAUAUAGUUCACGCAGUAAAACCUUACGAUCAUUAAUGUUUUUAGGCAAUCAAAACUAUCAAGAAAAUGACUUGGCUGCUAAAGGAUUGAGGAAGAACUCAUUCUCAGGACACUUUGUAGCCAAUUCAUAAAACUUCAUGCUUGUAAUCGAAAUCAUUUAUAGUAUAAAUCACUAAGUAAAUAUUAUCUUUCAAAAAAAGUGAAAAAUAUGAGAUUUUUUGGUCAUCAAACUAUAUAAAAAUAAAUGAUCAAUAUCAACAAAGGUAUUACGAACUGUCUAUCUAUUUACUAUUGUUGAAUGAUUAAACGAUAUAAAUUUUAAUUCGUUUUUUACAGAACUGAUUUUUACAUAGCGACUAUAAUAUGAACAAUUCCGAUAAUAAAUACGAAGUUCCACAAAUCGAUCACAAACAGUAGCGGAGUUAGAAUUUUAUGCAAGGAUAUGCCUCACAUCAAUGUUAAAAAAAUAAAAUAAAUAGAUAGCAUUUACAAGAGAGUAUAAUACAUGCUUGGAGUUGUGAGCUAAUUAAAUUUUGAGGUGCUAAAUGUUUUUUAUAUGUUGAAAUUAACCUUCCAAUAUCAAGUCAAUAUAGAGAGUAAUUAAUAAAAAAUUAAAGAAGAUUAAGAGAAAUUGACUCUCCAAUAUCAAGUCAAAGAAAAAAUGCUAGGGAGACCUUGGUUUUAGAUCAUAUUUUGGAGACUACAUGAUGUGACGGUUGAUGAUUGGAUUCCUUCUUUAAUGAUGUAAAGAAGUAAUCCAACCACUAACUGUCACAUUAUGUGGUAUCAAAACAUGGUUCAAGUAGCAUCACCCCAACACAAUAUAGAAUGUAUAGGAAAUUUUCAAAGAAAAAAAAUGAGACGAAUGGAUUGGAAAGUUGGAGAACAAUAUAUAUGAAAUUUUUAAAAAGGCUUUUUAGCCAAAAUGGCCCCUGAGAUUUUCAUAACACACAUCACUUUGGUCUCUGAGAUUGAAAAUCAUCAAUAGAAAUGGUCCCUGAGAUUGUCCACCAUCCAUUAUUUUGGUCAUUCCGUUAAAAACUCCGUGAAGUGUCCUAGAUGUCUUGGCUGGAAGUUUGGGCAAUUUUCAAAGCUUCAUAACUCAAUUGUUUCUUAACCAAAUUCGACCCAUAAUAUAUCAAAAUGAAGAUAGGAAAGUGUAGAACAAGAUUAUAUAUAUUUGGAAGCUCAAUGGUUACCGGAGAUGCCGGAAAAUAGCCUUAAAGGUGACUGGUCCGCUGGAAAACUGGAAAACUCUCCGGAAACUGGGUAAACUUUAAACGUUUAUAACUUCUUCAAUACUCAACGAACUCAAGUGAUUCAAAAACGAAAAUCAUACUUCUUGACGAGCCAAAGAGAAUGGUACCUUUCUUGAUGCUGAUUCGUCCUGGUUUGGCCGAAAAACGGCUCAAAAAUGGCUAACUCGAGACCAAGACAGCCACUUUCGAGCCGUUUUCCUGCCAAACCACGACAAUUUAGGCGUAAAAAAGGUACCAUUCUUCUUGUCCCAUCGAGAAGUAUGAUUUUUGUUUUUGAAUCACUGGAUUUCGUUGAAUGUUGAAGUUAUGAACGUUUAAAGUUUAUCCAGUUUCGGGGCGAGUUUUCCAGUUUUCCCACAGACUAGUCACCUUUCAAGCUAUUUUCCAGCCAUAUCCGACAACCAUUGGGCUUCCAAAUAGGUAUAAUCUUGUUUCUAUGCUUUUCUAUCUUCAUUUUAAUAUAUUAUGGGUCGAAUUUGGUUAAGAAACGAUUGAGUUACAAAGCUUUGAAAAUUGCCCAAACUUCUGGCCAAGAGGUUUGGGACACUUAACGGAGUUUUUAAUGGAAGGACCAAAAUAAUGGAUGGUGGACAAUCUCAGGGACCAUUUCUAUUGAUUUUCAAUCUCAGGGACCAAAAUGAUGUGUUAUGCAAAUCUCAGGGUCCAUUUUGGUUAAAAAAAACCUUUUUAAAAUUAGUAGAAAGUUAUAGAAAACGAAGAGAUUUACAAACCUUAAUUAAUAUUGUUGUGGGUUGGUUUGGAGGACAAAAUAUAUGAAAUUUUCGAGAAGAGGAAAAGCUCAAAGUGUAUAUUCUUUGGUUGGACAAUGUGAAAGAAUAUUGUUUUCUAUGAAACUAAACCAGAAUUUAGAUUUAGUUUUAAGAGUUACUAAUUUGUUUCCUACUUUUGUGGGCAGGAUCAAGAAACAAACCUUUUCGUUCAUCAAAGAAAGAGUUAUUAAACGACCUAGUGGAUGGAAGGGAAAAUUACUUAGGGGUGGUUUGAGAGUGAGGUGCUUAAAAAAAAGCACCUAUGAAAAAAAGCUGUAAGGGUUUUAGGUGUUUGGUAAACUGAAAAAAAAAAGGGCUUAUUUUGGAAGCUGCUGUGAGAAUAAGCUGAAAUCAAAGGAAAAAGCUGAAGCUGCUAUUUGCAGCUUUGGAAAACUGGCUUUUUUUCAAAGCACACAGAGCUACAAUGCUCCUUUAAUGAAAAGACCCACUAUCAGACUGUUUUUUUUUCCAACAGCACUUUUACAAAAAAGUUUACCAAACACUCUGCUGAUUUUUUUCACAGCCACUUAUUCUCACAGCACAGCCGCUUAUUCUCAUAGCAGUUUUUUUUUCAAAGCACAGCAAUACCAAACCAGCCCUUAGUAGUGCGGGAAGAGAACUUCUCAUCAAGGUGGUUGCUCAAAAUCUUCCUGCUUUUGCAAUGAACUGUUUCUUAUUGCCGAAUACUUUUUGCGAUUACCCGGAUACCCUAAAAAUACACUGGUGGUCAAGGGAGAAAUUAUGUAAACCUAAGAGGAGGGGGAGGGGGGGGGGGUACGUGUUAAGAGAUUUGUAUGCUUUUAAUUUGGCAAUGUUGGUUAAACAAGGGUGGUGUUUAAUCACCAACCAGAUUCCUUGGGUGCUAAAUUGUUUAAAGCUAUACACAAUCCCAUGUCAUCUUUUUGGGAUGCAACCAACCCAUUCUAUAGCUCCUAUUGUUGGACUAGUAUUCUGAAGGCGCGUGAGGUGCUUUUGUUGGGGGAGGGGGGGGGGGUUCUAAGUGGACUGUGGACAAUGGAGAGACGAUACAAGUGCUAAUAUGAUAAUAGUAGAGGGUUACUUGAUGGAGAUGAAAGUAUAAGCUCUCCCAUUAACGUCCGCGGGCUCUACAAUUAUAACUCUUAGUGUGAGACAUAGUGAAACUGGCCUACUGCAAAAUAGUGAUAAAAGAUUGUAAUGUGGGUAUUAUGUAUGACCCUAUUGUGCAAUCUUUGAAUGACUAUGUAGGAAUUGGUACUUGUGGGACUUAAAAUAACAAUGCAUAACUAAUGUGGUGGUCGCACCGUUGCGAUUAAUUCAUGUGUUAGAAUAUAAGUAAACGAUAAUAUUAAUAUUUCAUAAAAUUAAGUAUAGUAGCAGUGUGACAGUCACAUUGAAAAACUUCUCAUUCAGAUAAAACUAAUAUAAAGAAUAGAAGAAGGCUAGUUAAGUACCAAACUAGAACUUUAAGGUCGAAGAAAAGUAGAAGAUGGAGGAAGAAGAAGCAUCAUUUCAAAAUUGAAAGACAAGGGUCAAGUAAUGGGGAUAAUUUUUACCCAAGAAUAAACAUGGGGAAAUUAUCUUGAUUUUCAUAUUAUCUCAAAGCAUUGGGAAGGAAGAAACAGUGUAUGAUAAAAUAUAUGACCUAUAUAUAUGUAUAUAUUCGAACACUGAUUUCUGUGUUGCAGUGUGCAUAAGUGCAUUUCCACCCAAACUUGAACUGUGGUUUGGAAUCUCAUUGAGCUCCAUUACUACAGGUCAAAGCCAAGGGUCUGCAUGCAGUUUGACUAUUUAGUUUUCAUUUAUGUACGGUUUGAUGGAUAGUAGUUGGGAAACAGAGAUAAAUUGUAAGGAAAACUAACCAAAAGGGCUUGAAAACUUUAAAUUUUAACCAAAAACCAUGUUAAAAGUUUAUUUAAUGGUUAGUACAAAACCUAAUAUCAAAUGAGCCCAAUAAAACCGACCCAACCAAAAUAAUUUAUUGUGCUUCCAAUUGUACCCCUAACGUCAAGUUUCCUCACCCGUUUAUUUGGUCCGUUUCCUUCAUAUGCAGAGAGAAAGUCUAUAAACUCAAAUUAAUUUAUGUAAUUUUCUCAUUACAUCUUGCCAUCAUCCAAUCUUCUCCGUCAAACUCUGAAACACCCGAGAAUGCCUUCUAAACGAUGAUUUCUUGGAAGAGUGUAUCUCUAUGACUCGCAACCCUCAACAACACUGUCCUUUCUAUUGUAAAAGCUGCCUACUUGAAAGAGUCAAGAAUGAUGAUUGUUUAGAACAAUGCAAGGGCCACUUAAGGAGGCAAUCUAUUAAAGAAUGCUGGGGCAAGUGUGGCUGCCAUAGACAGUGUGGAAAUCGAGUAGUCCAGAGAGGCUUAAAUUGGAAGUUGCAGGUUGGAAUCUAUUUAAAAUGCUCUUUUCUGAUUAUUGUUAGUUGAUGGAAUGGGGUAUUUGUUUUAUUAUUGAUGUAAAUCUGUGCAUAUAUUGUUCAUGAGUUUUAGUGGUUAUAUUCUCGAAAGAUGUGAUAAACAAGUGCAGAUCUUGGUUCGGAAAGAAGCGGAGAUGUCGUAUGACUUUCCUAAUCUACCUUUCAUCGAAGAAAACUAGCUAGUUGGAUCAUCGUUGCCGUACCUGAGGUGCAUGCAUUACCGAAUACAUCCUUCAUCAUCUGUUUAUGCCCAUCCCCUUGGAUCAUCGCCGGCGUACUUCACGGCGUCCUAUGCUAUCUGGAUAUCGUUUCUAUUGCACCGUGAGAAAUCCAAUAUCGGCUGUCGAACCGACAAAAGUCGAUAUUCAGAGGACAUUAGUAUUGGAGAAGGUUUGUGCUAUUGAAUUUUGAUUUGGAAAUAUUGAUUAUUUUUUCGGUUCUAAAUGUUCGGGCUGUGAUAUUUUUUGUUUUUGGGUGUUUGAAGUUUUUGGUUUUUAAAUUAAUUUGCAAAUUUAGGGUUUCAAGUGUGAUAUGAUGAGGAAUUAUUGAUCCAUGUUUCUGAUUUAACCGUGACCAACAACCCUUAACCAUCUCUGAUCGCUUUUCCAUUUUUACCAAUUUCAAAAUUUCAUUUAAAAUAUUUUUAGUUUUAAUUUUUUAAUUUUGUUUGAAUUUUGUGUUUAUCUUGCUCUGUGAUUAUGUGCCUACAAUGGGCAAUAUAUGUUAUUCUGAUUCAGAACAUGACUGGAUAACUUUUGAGAGCAAUUAUGAGAGCAAUUAGUUUCUAAUUGUUGUUUAAUUUUUGUUUCUGGGUUUAAUCUUUAUUUUUUUUACAAUUUAAUUUUGCAAAUUAAAAUUUUUGUUGCUGGGCUUUAUGAGAGCAAAGAAGUUGCCAAGAGAGAGGUUCUUCGGUGCAUCAACCAGGUGAUUGUGUGCUAAUGAACUCUUAAUACAGUUUGUAGUAUUUAGACUUGUUGAGUCACUAAGAGAGAGUGAUUAGGAAGUUAAUUGAGCUUGUUUCACAUUCUCUAACUUAAAUUACAAAUAGUAUGCACUUCCAGAAGUUCAAUUAGGUGGACUUCACUUGCAGUUCAACAUGGGCUAGCUGCAAUUGGUCAAAAUUGAUUGCCCAUCGUUUUCCUUUAGGCUUUCACAUCUCGAAAUGCAAAUGGCUCAAAAUAAUUUCAACUUUAACAAGUAUGUUUAUUCUGUGAUCCAAAUGCAAUCUUCGACCCUCUUAACUUUUUUUUUUUUUGCACACAGCCAAAUGGAGAUGACCCAAAAUUUCCUGAUUGUAGAUUUAUCCAGAUGCAAUCUUCUUUUGUUUGUCCUAUUUCUUAAACGGAACACUAGUAUUAUCACUGUUUCAUAAACUAAACACUGACUAUUUGUUAAACGGAACACUAGUAUUAUCACUGUUUCGUAAACUAAACACUGACUAUUUAUCAAACGAACACUAGUACUAUCACUGUUUCAUAAACUAAACAGAACACUAGUACUAUCACUGUUUUCAUAAACAGUAAACACUACUAUCUGUUUUAACUAAACACUGACUAUUUUAACAAAUAAAACAACUAACACUAGUACUAUAAACGUAAAAAACCAAAACUAGUUUAUCUAAACACUGUUUCUGUAAACACUGUAACACUAAACUAUUACUUAAAACUAACACUAAACACUAUCACUGUUUCAAAACUAAACAAACUGACUAUUUCUUAAACGGAAAACUAGUACUAUCGUUGUUAUGUAAACUAAAAAACACUGAUUAUUUAUCAAAUGAACACUAGUACUAUUACUGUUUCGUAAACUAAACACUGACUAUUUCUUAAACGAAACACUAUAGUACUAUCAUUGUUUGGUAAACUAAACACUGACUAUUUAUCAAACGAACACUAGUACUAUCACUGUUUCGUAAACAAAAUCGAACACUAGUAUUAUCACUGUUUCGUAAACAAAAACACUGACUAUUUUCUUAAACGGAACACUAGUACUAUCAACUAAACACUAAUAUUUUCUUAAACGAACACUAGUACUAUCACUGUUUCGUAAACUAAACACUGACUAUUUAAAACGAACACACUAGUACUAUCACUUUUAAACUAAACAGAACUACACUAUUUUCAAACGACAACACUAACUAACUAUCACUGUUUAGUAAACUAAACACACUACACUAUUUAUCAAACGAACACUAGUACUAUCACUAUUUCGUAAACUAAAACAAUCGAGCACUAGUACUAUCACUGUUACAUAAACUAAACACUGACUAUUUCUUAAACGGAAUACUAGUACUAUCACUAUUUCAUAAACUAAACACUGACUAUUUAUCAUACGAACACUAGGACUAUCACUGUUUCAUAAACUAAACACUGACUAUUUAUCUAUCGAAACACUAGUACUAUCACUGUUUCGUAAAUAAACACUGACUAUUUAUCAAACGAACACUAUACUAUCACUGUUUCGUAAACAAAAUCGAACACUAGUACUAUCACUAAUUUCGUAAACUAAACACUGACUAUUUCUUAAACGGAUCACUAGUACCAUCACUUUUUCGUUAAACUAAACACUAACUAUUUUAUCAAAACGAACACUAGUACUAUCACUGUUUCGUAAACUAAACUUACACUGACUAUUUCUUAAACGGAACACUAGUACUAUCACUGUUUUCGUAAAUUAAACAACUGACUAUUUCUUAAACGAAACACUUAGUACUAUCACUGUUUAGUAAACUAAACACUGACUAUUUAUCAAACGAACACUAGUACUAUCACUGUUCGUAAACAAAAUCGAACACUAGUACUAUCACUGUUUCGUAAACUAAACACUGACUAAACAUACUUACUAAAUUUUUAAACGAACACUAGUACUAUCACUGUUUCGUAAACUAAACACUGACUAUUUCUUAAACGAAUACUAGUACAUCACUAUUUCGUAAACUAAAACAGAAAACACUAGUACUAUCACUAUUUCGUAAACUAAACGGAACACUAGUACUAUCACUGUUUCAUAAACUAAACACUGACUAUUUAUCAAACGAACACUAGUAUUAUCAUUGUUUCGUAAAUUAAACACUGACUAUUUGUUAAACGGAACAGUAGUACUAUCACUGUUUAGUAAACUAAACACUGACUAUUUAUCAAACUGACACAGGUACUACACAAUUUAUUAAACUGACUGACUAUUUUUGAACAGAACCAAAAUAACCCAUCCUAAUAAGUAACAAUGAGCGCACUUACGACAGUGACUUUAAUUAUUAGACUAUUAGUCAAUUAGGCAACCAGAAAUUGGAUUACCAAAUUAGCUAAUCCUAACCCACCACCCUCAUGACAAGUCAUCUUAGUUAUGUGUGCUAUGCUGAUGUUAUAUAUAUAUAAAUCAAACAAGUAACAAGCACGUUCAAGGAAACUUGGAUAAAUGGCUCACAAGUACUAUAACAAUGCACUAGUGCUACUAGUGUUUGUCAGCGUUGUGGUGCAGGAAGAAACUUUAAUGGUGGGUGUUGCUCAACGAGAUCUUUUAUUAUGGUCUCGUUUCUUUGAAAGUUUGCUUUAUAUAUAUAGAACAACAUCCAAACCAGGCUUUUCAUAGUACAACAUCCAACCCAGGCUUUUCAUGUGGAUUUUCUUCCUUGGAACAAGCUGCUUCUUCUCAGCCCUCAUCGAUGCAUUCUGAAUGGAAUUAAGACAAGCCAUUUUUCAUCUUUUUCGUCACACCAUCAACCAGUUUAUUGCCAGAUGAUGCGGCCUCCUCCCUUCCCCUUUUUCGUUCCAUAUACACAUACUUUUCAAAAUUGCUAGAGGCUUGGCUAUAUCCAAAACGAAAUGCAGCUUCUUUCUCACACAAACUUUUAUAAGAGAUUAGCACGGUGAAACGCAAAUCACCGUUGUAUCUAAAAAUCAAGAAGUCUCAGCAUUCUACGUAAUGGUCUAUCACAAAUGUCGGCCACCCAUGAUGCAAGAACAAACCACCAUUCUGUUGAAUCAAUUCAAUACUCCACGCACUGCCGCUAGGGUCAAACAACAAAACUAACCCAGUUAUUCUGCCUUCCAUUUUUCUCAUGAAUCUUCAUGGGAUUUUCAGUCUUUCGGAGCUCAAAUCAUCAUAAUAAAACGCAAAAAAUGAGGGCUCCUCGCAUUCUGAACUUCCUCCAUUGAAAUUAGCUUUGCAAGUUUCAAACUCUUAUCAGAAAACAGAAUCUCGGUGAAAUUUUCUGAGUAACCAAACAGGUCCUACCAUUUUCCCCUCCGAUUUAAAAUUAACGAAGCAAGAACGAACAAAAUUCAAGAUGGGAUUUGUGAUCGUAUAAAUUAUUAGGUUUUUUUUUCAAUUUGUUUUUAUGAGGAAGUGGCAUACUUGUAAAAAAAAGGAAAGUCUAUUUCUAAUGGGAGUGGCUGACGGAGUGAGGUUCCAUUAGGGGUAAGAGCUGGAAAAAAAAAAUAUUUCGUUUUGGGCUUUUAAUUCAGCCCAUGUGUAUUCAAGGUUAUAGGGCCUGAUAUAUAAUAGUUUUGUCCUUAUCAUGAAAUAUAAAGCCCUUUUGGUUAAAUAAUAGUAUAGGAUGGUUUUUGGUUAAAGUAAACUUAACCCAAGCCCUUUUCAUUAAAGCUCCCUAAAUUGUAAUGGAAGGACCAUGUGUCAUAUUUCUUACAGAUAACUAGCUUUGAUACUCUCAUUGAUCAAGACGGAUGAAUAUAAUAUACAGGAUGGGUGUUACAGGGAAGCUAAUUAUAAUUUUUUGCUCAAAAUUAGUGGCGGGGGGAGGGAGUUAACUUCUUUGGACUUCAUUUCUGUGACAGAAAAACUGCUGCUAACUACAGUUAACCUUUGUCUUUCAAUUUUGAAAUGAUGCUUUUUCUUCCUCCAUCUUCUGCUUUUCCUCAACCUUAAAGUUGUGAUUUGGUACUUAACUAGCCUUCUUCAAUUCUUUAUAUUAGUUUUAUCUAAAGGAGAAGUUUUUUAGUGUGACUGUCACACUACCACUAUACUUGAUUUUAUGAAAUUUUAAUAUUAUCGUUUACUUAUAUUCUAACACAUGAAUUAAUCUCAACGGUGUGACCACCACAUUAGUUAUGCAUUGUUAUUUUAAGUCCCACAAGUACCAAUUCCUACAGUCAUUCAAAGAUUGAACAAUAGGGUCAUACAUAAAUAUUUUUUACUUCAAUUCACUACCUACAUUACAAUCUUUUAUCACUGUUUGCAGUAGGCCAGUUUCACAAUGUCUCACACUAAGAGUUAUAAUUGUAGAGCCCGCGGAAGUUAAUGGGAGAGCUUAUACUUUCAUCUCCAUCAAGUAACCGCUCUGCUAUUAUCAUAUUAGCACUUGUAUCGUCUCUGAUAUAACAACCACAGUAUAGAGAAUGAAAAUUAAUUACUAAUUACCACUUAGCUUAUAUGAAAGUAGGAUUAUAUUGUGGUUUGUGAUUCUACCUAUUUAACCUGUUUCGGAUUUACAGAACCCACAAGAAUACCACGAGGGUCGACUCGAAAGUUCAAAACCCGUCAUUCAAAUUGAAAAUUCUACUACGCUAGACUGAAGUUUAUCUAGUUUUAAAACUGGGACAUGCUUACACUUUGUAUACAUGCGAGAUUAAUUGCUAGAGACUUAAGGGGAGUAUUUUUACCAACACAUAAAAAUCAGAAAAAGAAGUGGAAAUCAGUAAUUUGACACUUGAAAAACCGGGUAUUAGUUCAACUAUCCGAUUAAGGACUUAAUAAACAUGCCUAAGGGAUCAUUUGAGACUACUAAUGUAGAAAGUACUUGUACCACUUGUAGUUAUCAGAUUAAAUAGACCUAAUAAAAAUAACUGACAAAAUUAAAUAUGGAGAAGGUGGUAAAUACACAACUGUCAACACUGAUAUAAAUUAAUCGCUCUAUUUCCUUGGGUCACCAUCCCCUAAGUUUUCAUAAACUCCAAAGCUCUCAUUUUUGAGGAAUUUUUCAUUGUAACUAGAACACAGGUUGUAUACUAUGUAUUUUUAUAUAAUUAUGGUAAAUUUUAUUUUUUAAGUUAUUAAUUUUUUGACACACAUAUCCUACUAUUUGUAUAAUAACAUGUGAUGUACUACCCCAUAUUCUGAUCACAAUGAAAAAUCUCUUCUCAUUUUCCCCCGGGGUUUUCACCUUUUCCAAGUCACCGAAUCUCUCCGAUUCUCCAAGUUCUCUACAAUCAACAAUAAUUUUCUCUACCUCCUCCAAUAAAAGGCAAAGAUUAGAAAUGGGCAUAAAAAUCGUGGAACCGAGAAACUCUAUGCCCUUUUUUAUUUAUUAUUUUUGUCUGUGAGUAACUUUCUGGUUGGUUCAUGUACAUUUUUGCGUUUGGUUUUUGUAAAAAUCUUGGAUUUUUGGGUUUAUUUAUAAAUUUGUGUGUUUUGGCUAUUAAGUUACUAGGUUGAGUGGGUUUGACUUAGCUUUCCAAGGUCAGACAUUAGGAACUGUUUUCAAGUUAGAUUUGCCUUUUGUCUUUUUCUUUUUCGAUCAAAUCCCAUUUAAAAAACGGUCGACGUAUAUAUUUUGCAUCAUUACAAUUAAUUAGUCUACUUGUUUAUUCAUAAGACGAUAAUCGAGGAAACGAAAUCAACCAUGGUGAGCUUUGUGGAACCAAAAAUAAUUCCAAAAAUUCUAGAGACGAUAGAUGGACUUUUGUUCAAGAAGGACAAGAUUGUCCUCAUUAAAUGGGCAUACUCCUCAGAAACUCUCACGCGUAACUCACACUCCUGAAGGUUCCAGCAGUUGAAUACGACUGCCCACAGCUCACCUGCCAUUGACAAGGAAAAGUCAAAGCAUUAACGAUAAAGAUUAAUUACCCAAAUCCUAUUUUUAAUACAUUCCCAAUUGAAGAUUGACUCUAAUCAAGUAAGUAAUACCAAUUUAAAUUAAUUAGGGAUAAUUACUCCAUUAUCUCAAGAUAUUAUUUCCUAUUUAAUAUAUUGAGAAUAUGUCUCUAUAAACGUUGGCCAAUAGGAUGCCACCAUGUGUAAGGUAAAACCCUAACACUAUGGCCAGCCCUCUCCCCUAUAUAUACCCCAUAUUCUACCAAAUUUCAGAAGCUUUUGCUACCCCUAAAAAGCCUUAAACACUUUACUCUCUCAGAAAAACUAAUUUAGGCAUCAGAGAUCCAUUGGCCUAACCCCCCCCAACCUCGUGGGCACGUGAGGCUUAGGUCUUUAAUGAAAUGUGUUAAUUGUUUUGUAGGUGCAUUUUCACCAAGACUGAAGACGGCGAAAAUUUGCAUCGACAAAUUGGUGCUUUCAUUAAGAGCUGAUUCAAAUACUCAAAAAAAGCCAUUUGCAUUUGUUUAUUGAAUUUUCUGUUAUGUUGAAUUUCUCACAUGUCGUAUCAAUUAAUUUUUCCUAAAAAAGUUUCUUGAUCAAUCCCUGCAGAAAUGAUACAAUAGUAAGAAAUUCAGAACCACAACGAACGGAACCCCGUACGUACAAGGAUUUGGACUGGAGAGUGGAGACAAGGACAUAGCCCCACGAUGGUGAUCCUCAAGGCUCAACACGACAGCAGGAGGAGCCCCACUGCCAUGAAGCCAAGUCAUCUAAGCCACAACCAGAUGCAAGCUCUGCUGCAAGGACCGCAACCCUCAAAAAGCUGGGCAGAAGGCCCAGAUCCAUUCCUUAACCCAAGGGUAGGAAGCCCAGGUCCAUGGAGAAGUAGGCUGAGCCCAAGAGGCCCAGACCAUUACAGCUCCACUAGCCAAGCAGCCCAAGCCGCAGCAACCCAAGCUCAACUCGUUGUUGAGGCAACUCGAGCCCACUUAGCUACCAACCGAGCCCAAGCUCACGAUGAGCUAGCACCGACCCAGCUCGCAGUAUAGACCCAAGGCCAGUUGCUAUAAGUGCAAGCCUAGCACGCCCACACGUACGACCCAACCACCUAACCGGGGUAGCCCACCCCGCGACCUGCUCCGACGACCCGGCUCGCAGCUCAAUCCAACUCGAGGCCACCUCUUAUGAUUCAAAUUUCGACCACUGGUCCCACGAUCACCUCAGGGUUAUUUUCACCCCACUUUUCUACAGGAAUACCUAUUUUGGGUUCAAGCUUUACACCUACAGUCCACUAUACUUCCACCACACAUGGAUAUGACCAUUAUCUAGACUCUUCAAAUCCAAAUGGUAAGCACCAUCUGCCCUAGUAGGUCGCCAAAUUGACGUGUGUCCUCGUGCAGUAGACCACCUUGGUGAACCAACUCCUCGAGUGUAUCGAGACGCAGCGCGCCCCAGACAAGGUGUCUUAAAGCAGGACAAUGGCAGAAGACUGUGACUCAUUCCAGCGACGUCACGACAAACAGUCGUUCAGCCUGCCCGGAGCUGCAAGUUCAGGUAGUGUGCACCUUCAUUUGCGCCCUUGGGGAAACAUCUUCUCCUGCCUAAAUGCACAAAAAAACAUUUAUUCCUAACUCGACUCACGAGUCAGUGUACAUUCGAGGUUGGGUUCAUACUUCGAUAAACACUCAGGACAUUCCAGACGAAGCAUCCAUAUGAGGCUAGGCCCACAAGGAGAUCCUCCUGUAAGUCACCGGAGUUGGUAGCCACAUGACGGGCAGAGGAAAGCACAUAAGUAGUCCAGCUUAAGUUUCACUGGCUGUCCCCGCCAAACUUCACGACAAGCAACAUAGAAUGAACCUCGUGCACAACGACUAAGGCACAGACGAACAUGACAUGCCGAAAAGCAACAUGGACCAGCAGGUUAGCACCGAGGGCAGUUGGAGGCUUCGUUGCCCCACUAGGUGCAAAUCCAGGAAAAAGUACAAAGGCUCGUGGCAAAGUAGCUGCGCGGAUUCUAGCGCAUUGAUACUACCGACGAUGCCCUUCGUAGAGACGUUGUCAACAUAAGCAGGUCACCGUUCACAGAUGAGAUCGAGUAGACGGAGCCACCACGGAAGUUCAGCCCGCCAUAUUUCACCUUGUUCAAAAGAGAUGAAGAUCUGGACAGACACUUAAUGCAUUACCGAAGCACCAUGACCCUCUACGCCAACAAUGAUGCUCUCAUGUGUAAGAUCUUUGCCAUGAUGAUCCAAGGUGAGGCGAAGACUGGUUUCACACCCUGCCGCAUCACUCAAUUCGGAACUUCAACGAACUUUCCUUGGUUUUCACUAAGGAAUACUCGUCCUACCACUCGAUCAAAAAGAAGUCUGACCACCUCUUCAAUAUGAAGAAGGACUCCAAUAAGUCACUCUGUACACAUAUCAAGAGAUUUAAGGCGGAGAAGGUGAAGAUCGUUGGAUGUGAUGACAGCAUUGCAUGCUCAGCUUUUCAAAAAGGGCUCCUAGCAAAUCACCCAUUUUCCGGAGAAUUGAGCAUGGGCAAGAACUUAACCCUAGAAAACUCUUAUGCUUUGGCAGAAAAACACUCUCUUUCGGAUGAGGCUAAAUGUUCUUAGAAGCCACCUGAACAGCAGCGCAAAAACGCAGAGCCAACACAGAAGAAGGUGGGCAAUAAACCGCUCAAUGACAAAAAUUAGCCAAGAAGCAAAUGCAGGGAUCGAUCCCCGAUAAAAGGAGGCAUGACACCCAAGAUGUACACCAAGUUCUUAAGGAGUCGAAGUAGAAGUUUUUCGCCCUAGCAGUAGCAGCUGAUAUGCAGAAAGACAUUCUACCUCUACCAAAUAGCAACCAUAGUAGAUGGAUCAAGAAGAUGGUGUCAAGGUGAACAAUGCCCUGGCAGAUGAAUCAGGAUGGAAACCCGAAGAAGACACCGAGCACAUCUCCCUUAACCUUAAGCAGCGGUCAGACCAUUCAAACCGCAUAUCCAAAAUUAGUUCUAAGCAAUUCUAGAUAUAAAGUCCCUCAUCACUCUGAAGGAGAUCCAAGGUCUGACCUGAUGAGCAACUGCUCUCAACCAAUUCCUCUCUCGACCUACCGAUUGAUACAAGUUUUUUUCAAGGCAAUCAAGACGCAUAACGAGACAAAUGGAACGACGAAAUGCGAGAGAGCAUUACAAGACUUGAAGAAGUACCUGGCGUCACCUUCACUACUAUCCAAGCCGGUCUACAGUGGAGAACUUGUACAUCUAUCUGGCAGUAUCAGAAGUAACAGUGAGCUAUACCUUUACACUAGAAGAGCUAAGGGCCCAACUGCCUAUAUUCUAUUCAUCCAAAGCUCUUCUCGAUGUGGAAACCAGAUAUCUGAAGAUUGAAAAGCUAAUUUUGGCACUAGUUGUUACAGCUCGGAAGCUCAGACCUUACUUUUAAGGGUAUUUGGUCAUCGCCAUGACUUAGUACCCACUACGAUCAGUUUUGCAUAGUCCAGACGUUUCUCAACGAAUGAUGAGAUGGGCGUUGGAACAUGGCCAAUACGGCUUAGUAUACCAACCUCGCAUUGUAAUGCUUUGUAGUAGAAUUCACCCUAAGCCUGAAAGAUGUAGAAACUUAGCCCAAACGUGCCCUAGAGGCAGCCGAGCAUGCCGUAGCCGUACCAGCCCCGCCUGUAGGAGAUUUUUUGCAUUUUCACAUCGACAGAUCAUCCAACUGCCAGGGAUCUGGAGUAUUUCUAGUUCUUACUACCCUGGACAGUUUGAUGCUCGAGCAGGCGAUCAUUCUAAGCUUCAAGGCAUCAAACAACAAAGCAGAGUAUGAAGCCCUACUGAUUCCUAGCUGACGAGCAGGUAUUCGAUUGGCGAAAGAGAUCCAAGGUCUGACCUGACGAGCAGGUCUUCGAUUGGUAAAAGACAUAGCGAUGAAGAAGCUCGUAAUUUAUUUCGAUUCCUAGCUGAUCACCAACCAAACCUCAGGGGAGUACGUAGCAAAACAUCUAAGAAUGGCCCGAUAUCUCGAGAAUGUACGAGAACAGUUAGAGACGUUCUAGGCGUACACAUCACUCAAGUUCCAAAAGCAGAGAAUGUAUACGCAGACACACUAACAGGGCUAGGUUCUACCUUAGACCAUUAGCUCAAACACUUCAUCCCAGUUGAGUACUUAGAGAAGCCAAGCAUAGAUGAGGAGCCAAUAGUUGAGGUAGUGUGAAUCAACACAAGUUUGAGUUGGCAGGAUCCUAUCAUCAACUACUUAGUCAACAGAACGUUCCCUGCAGGCAGACUGGAGGAAGUUCUAGAUUAAGGCAGCACGCUACUACAUAUGGAAUGGCAUGCUUAUUCGCAAAUCCUUCUCAUGACCACAUCUCUGCUGCCUAUCGCUUCCCGACGACCUGAAGAUUUUUAGCUCAAUCUACGAAGGUGUCUGUGGAAACCACGCUGGAAACCAUUCUAUAGCGUAUAAAGCUCUUAACGCUAGCUAUUACUAGCUAACCAUGCAUCAAGACGCCAAUAAGUAUGUGCAAAUGUGCGACAGCUGCCAGCACUUCAAGCCCAUGCCCGCACUACCUGACAGCGAACUCCACCCAUAAAUAAGCCAUUAUCUAUUCAUGCAGUGGGCAAUUAACCUGGAAUGACCAAUGCCUCCUGUCACUGGGGUUAAAGGCAUGACGAUCGUAGCAACCGACUACUUCACAAAAUGGGUCGAAGCCGAACCCAUGACUACAACUACCCAGAUGGACAUAGAGUAAUUAAAUCAACAUAACCCCAACCCAAUAUUUAACAAAAACUCACUCUCCUAAGAGAUUUUUCACUAUUGCCCUCUUUUUUUCUCUCAAAGCUUAUUCAACUCUGAAUGCUUACCACAUGCAUAAGUACUGCAUUUGGUUAUAGGCAGCCCAUUAAACUGAAGCCAACAAGUAAAGAUCAAAUUGGUCUUUAGUUCACAUGCCAUAUUUAAACGCUUCACUGUAGCGUGCAACUGUUUUCUUCAUUUGCUAUUUAAUGCAUAAAAGAUAAGCAUGCACGUCACUCAGUACUUGUUGGUAUUUCUCUUCAUUUGAAAGUGAGAGGUUUUAUGUUCGAAUCUCAUGGAUGGCGAAUUCAAUACCAAAUUGGGUUGUUCGUUGUGUGGUUUAGCCGAACUCUCACUCUUCCUUUGCACAAUGGCAUACAAACGAAAAAAUCUAACCUCCUUCCAACGUUCCUUGUGUUUAUACCAUACUUAGGGCCUCCGUAUUUAGAUCUCAUAUAAUAAAGGAAGAGGCAAAUAUGUAAUAAGUGAGGAGCCUUAUUCUAUAAAAGGACCCCUCACUCUCCUCAUUAGCGGGGGGCCAUUUCUUAGGCCAUACCCUCACCCUCUUAGAGCUCUCAUCCUCACAGAGAAACUCUCUCUCUCCCUCUUCAACAUCUCAGAGAAAGAAAUACAAUAAUUAGUGUAGACGUAGCCCAAACAUUGGGGUAAACCACGAUACAUCUUGUGUUAUUUACUUUCUUGCAGAUUCACGGUCAGAUUUACGUUGUUCCAAGGCCUCCGAUUUUGUGCAUCAACAUUUGGCGCCGUCUGUGGGAAUCGACACAGAAAACUAUGUUGGUUCUCUUUCAUUUUUUUUCAUCUCACCACCGUGAAACUGCAGAAACCGAAGAACCCAUAAAACCUCACUCUUUGGGCUUGUCCAGAAAACCUUCGCAGACUCUAUGCAGUUUUAAGAAACUAUCCAAAAACCCAUUUUUCAUCUCUCUUUCAACAACACAGCUACCACCGCGUCUUUUCAUGUCUCUAACUAUAGAUCUCACCCUCUCCCUCUCUCUAAAACUUUCUCUCUCUAAAAUCCGAACCAAACAUCGUCUUCAACCUUUGGACUUGGAAGAGAGAGGGAAGACCCUGUAAAUUCAGCCAAAAUAUCUCCAAACCCACAUCUCUUUUUCUUUCCAUUAUUUUUCACAACUUGUUAAAUGAUUAAAUCAACAAAACUUUUGGAUAUUGUCAGAAAAAUCUGAGCUAUGAACAGUCAUCACGACGAGGAAGAGAUGCUUACGUCCUUGGAGUACAAUUUCGACACUGAGUUGACUCAGUCCACCGCGCUCAGAGGUAGCACCCAGUUCGAAAGACGAGCUUUUAGCGGCCCGCUGGGAAUGUCUAACUACGCACCGACUAGACCUACUAAAUGCCAAUUCUCCGAGAACUCUCCAUCCUCCUCUAAUCUCUGAAAGCUGAAGGCUUCAACAUUUCCAAACCCCCAUUGGAGAUAUUAUUCGAUCAGGGACCCAAUUGGUGAUACGUCGUCGUUUGGCUCGGAAAGAUGGUUUAUCACUCCAAUUUCGUCAACGCUGAAGGAAUUACUAAAGCUUGUGGAUGCCCUCUAUUGCCGUUGAAAAGCCACAUAAAGGGACCUGCCCCAGUUUCAAAGCAAGAUAGAACGGAUAUUGUUGAUGAAGCGAUUUCAUUCUUUCGCGCUAAUGUUUUCUUUAGGAACUUUGAUGUUAAGAGCUCGACCGAUAAGCUCCUCAUUUAUUUGACAUUUUGUAUCAAUGUGGCUUUGAAGCGGCUGGAGGGUUGCAGAACUUUGGCUGAAGGAACCAAGGCCAUUAUUAAUUUGGGACUACAAAAAGUUCUUGUUACUGGAGAGCCGAGUUUCCCUUUCCCAGGACUUUUCCCUCUUCCUCAGUCCCAGCAGGAAGCAGACGUGUUGUUGGAAACAAGAAAUGUUUGAAGGGGCCUCAUCGUCCUCAUGUUCCUCACUGUCCUCCUUCUGACCAGCAACAGCAACAACAACAACAACAACAGCCGCAUCUUCGCCCAGAGCAAGAGCCAGAGCCGACAGUAGAUCAAUUUUAGUGAUCCUGAUUGGAAAUCCAAGUUUCAAGGGGAUUUCGAGAAGCGGUUCAACAUCCCCUACAUCACUGAUGUUUUCCCUGACUUUGAUCCCAUUCCUUCCACCUUCUGCUUAAGGAUGAGGACUCCAGUAAUCGAAGACUUUGCAGGGUGAAAGCUCAAAAGGACGUUUGCUCCCGACUCGAAUCCCUCGAACUCGGAAUCUCAACCCAGUGACCAUGUAACAAAAAAAAAGGAAACAAAAGCAAAAGCAAGUCUGUGCAGGUAAAGAUGUCUGUAGGUGGAAAAGAAAAAGAGACUGAGUGAGAGAGGUGCGGUGGAAAAGAAGAAAGCAAAAGGGAGGCUCUCCUCGAGAGCACAUGGGGGACAACGCGAAAGAAAAAGAAAAAGGGAGAUCUUACUAAAGCCAAAGAAGAUGCCCACACUUUCGUCAUGCAUGUUCCUAUUUUCUGAGAAAGCUACGGGAAGACCUAGGAGGAAGAUAAGGGUUCCUUACUUUAAAGUGAUGUAAUUUAUUUUUCAUAUCUUUCGGAGACAUUUGUAUAAACCCCAUCAAAGGGUUAAAAAAAAAAAAAAAAAAAAAGGCAAGCCCAAAAUAAUAGGCUGGAAGGUGGUGUGGAAGGCGAAGACCCAUAUGCCCAAAAGAGCCAGACCCUCUAUUAUCACCAACCAGGUGAUCAAAAGUACGCCCAGUACUCCAAAAUUAUUCGGCAACGUGCCGCUAUUAUCACCAACCAGGUGAUCAAAAGUACGCCCAGUACUCCAAAAUUAUUCGGCAACGUGCCGCUAUUAUCAUCAACCAGGUGAUCAAAAGUACGCCCAGUACUCCAAAAUUAUUCGGCAGCCUACCACUAUUAUCACCCACUAGGUGAUCAAAAGUACGCCUAGUACUCCAAAAUUAUUCGGCAGCCUGCCACUAUUAUCACCCACUAGGUGAUCAAAAGUACGCCCAGUACUCCAAAAGUAUUCGGCAACCUGCCGCUAUUAUCACCAACCAGGUGAUAAAAAGUACGCCCAGUACUCCAAAAUUAUUCGGCAGCCUAUCGCUAUUAUCACCCACUAGGUGAUCAAAAAUACGCCCAGUACUCCAAAAUUAUUCGGCAACUUGCCGCUAUUAUCACCAACCAGGUGAUCAAAAGUACGCCCAGUACUCCAAAAUUAUUCAUGAGCAUCACUCAUGUCAUUCAUACAUAAACAUUCAUGAGCAUCACUCAUGACAAUCAUACAUAAACAUUCAUGACCAUCAUUCAUGUCAACAUUCAUAAGCAUCAUUCAUGAGCAUUGCUCGUGACAACAUCCAUGAGCAUCACUCAUGUCAUUCAACAUAAACAUUCAUGAGUAUCGCUCAUGUCAAUCUAGCUUCAAAAGCUCCAUUUACAGAGCUCUAGCUUCAAAAGCUUCAUUUACAGAGCUCUAGCUUUAACAGCUUCAUUUACAAAGUUUCAACAGCUUCAUUUACAGAGCUCUAGCUUCAAAAGCUUCAUUUACAGAGCCCUAGCUUCAAAAGCUUCAUUUACAGAGCUCUAGCUUCAAAGCUUCAUUUGCAAAGCUUCACCUACAAAGCUUAAGUGCAGGAUAUACAAAUACCGAAUCCGAACAACCACCAGUUCGGCCCAUACAUGGAUUCAAUUUGAAGUCUUCAGCCAACAGAGUCUAUUGACCGAAGACUUAGGGGACUACAUUAUGUACCAUAUAUUGGGCCUCAACUGGGCCUCAUGAAAAAUACUUGGGGGACUCUAGCCCAUUAUUCAUGUAUUGAGGAGCGAGCCCUUAUUCUAUAAAAGAGACUCCCUUACCAUCAUUAGAGAGCAUCAACUCUAGCCCAUUAUUCAUGUAUUGAGGAGCGAGCCCUUAUUCUAUAAAAGGGACUCCCUCACCAUCAUUAGAGAGCAUCGCCGCCUACUGAGCAACCGCCUCGCCGCGAGCAUCAACUCUAGCCCAUAUUUAUGUAUUAAGGAGCGAGCCCUUAUUCAAUAAAAGGGACUCCCUCACCUUCAAACACCAAAAGCCAAGCCAACCAAGGCAACAUAAGCCACAAGCAAAGCGGCCUCGCAACAUGUGCUACUUCUAGUUGAGCAUCAUUUCAGAUUGGGCACUGCCGCAUAUCAAGUAUCAAUUCUAGACGACAUCUAGUUACUUCGGCCCACACAUGGACUGAAUUUCAAGUCUCUAGCCAAAAGACUCUCUUGACUGAAGACUUAGAGGACAAUGGUUGCCUCCAUAUUUAGAUCUUGUAUAAAUACUCGGGGGGCUCAAAUGUAAUUAUGUAAUAAAGGAAUGGACAAAUAUGUAAUAAGUGAGGAGCCCUUAUUCUAUAAAAGGACCCCUCACUCUCCUCAUUAGCGGGGGGCCAUUUCUUAGGUCAUACUCUCACCCUCUCAGAGCUCUCAUCCUCACAGAGAAGCUCUCUCUCUUAUUCUUCAACAUCUUAGAGAAAUACAAUAAUUAGUGUGGACGUAGCCCAAACAUUGGGGUGAACCAUGAUACAUCUUGUGUUAUUUACUUUCUUGCAGAUUCACGGCCGGAUUUACGUUGUUCCAAUGCCUCUGGUUUUGUGUAUCAAUAACUUGUACCAGUAAAAUCAUGUGCAAACCACAAAGUCAUGACCUACUUCCAACUUUACUUUUGGCAGUCAAAUCAUGUCUUCUCUUUGAAGACUUUCAUGCCUUCAUCCAUCUUUAGCUUGCAUGGUUUCCGCUUCAGAUGUAAAUUCUUGUUCAAACUCUUAGUAAUAAAGAGUUUUUCCAACUUCUCCUACAAAGCAGGCACAAAAUCUUCAUCCAUAACAUUAUUGACAAUGUUAUCAGCUAUAUGGAGUCAAAUCGUGCUUACACAUCACGACUCCAACACCUCACACCUGUCAUCUUUCAUUUUUUCUGGCUUUCCAUCUUUUCCCUUCAAAGCUCUAGUCAAGCCUUGUUGAGUCAAGACGUCCUUGAUUCUCAUUUGCCAACGAGUAAAACUGCAUUUCCCAUUAAACUGCUCAACUGAGAAUGGCGUGUUUAUUGUCAUCAUGGUGACACUACUACAAAAUGGACUUAUUGUGUCACUAGGUGAUGUCACUUUAAUAUAAUAUAGUGGCAGACAAGACAUUUGCAACACUUACUGAACAUGACGUCAGAUUUACUGUCGCUUGUAAGCGUCAUAAACUGUCUAUGUCACUUUUAACUGACGUAAACAUUUAAUGUCGCUUAUAACCGACAUACAUUUUAAUAAUUUUUAAAUAAUGGUGUCGCUUUAAAAAAAAUAGUGUCACUUUUAAGCAACAUAAAGUAUUGGUAUCACUUCUAGCCGACACUAAUUAUUGUUUUUAAAUAUUUUAAAGUCUGUGUCGAUUCUGAGUGACAUAGAUUUUAUUUUUUUUAAUAUUUUGAAACCCGGUGUUGGUUGUAAGCAACAGAUUGAUGAUCUUUAUAUACUAUCCCCCGUGUGUUCUUCUUCCUCUCUUGCAUCUUUCUUAAGGAUAAGUUUAUAAGGUGACAUGCAAUUAGGCCUGGCAAACGGUUCGUGUUUAUCGUUUUCGUGUAACACCUGUUAUCUUAACGGGUCGUGUCAUGUCUCAACCAUUAUCUUAACGGGUCCUUAACAGGCGACCCAUUUUGACCCAUUAAGAAAAAUAUUUUUUUUCUUAAGUUUGCACAUACCACAUAUUACCACAUAAAUAUUACUGCAAAACAUUAAAAUACAUUUGGCGUUUAAGUACUACAUCUAUACUCGAAAAUAAGAGUCUAAUAAACAAACACCCAUACACUACUACUCUAUUACAAAAUGUUAAAUGUGCAAGGAUAUGCAAAAUGAAAGAGUUUUUGUUUUCAAGGUUGUGAAACCUUUCUCAAAAGUUUAAACCUUGCCAAUGGAACUCAAAGCUUGCAUGUUAUUCCUUUUACAAAUCCUCAAUUUUCAUCGAUCAUCAUGACAUAAGAUUUUGUGGUAUCCACUUCUGUAAAUAUUUGAAAUUGACGAUCAAAUUAGUUCAUUGUAUUCAUAUAGGAUCAAGGAGUGUAGCUGUAAAAAAAUCAUCAAAAUUGGAGUUAAAAUAACUAUUAAAUCGUGAUUUCGAUAAAGGAGUGGAUACCACAAAAUCUUAUAUUAUACUUAAUGAAAGUAUAAAUAAACUCUAAGUGUUAGUGAAUUUAUCAUUUUGAUAGGAUACGCAUUCUACGAAACUAAUUUCAACUAUCCUACUGUCAAACUUGUUUGUAUAUGCUUCGAGAUCGCAUACGCCAAAAAUCAUAAAAAAAACAAAAAUUCAGAGAUCAAGUAAUGGGACAAAACUUUUCAACGGUUAUAAACGAAAAAUCGAUUUAACGGUUAUUUUAACUCCGAUUUUGAUGAUUUUUUUACAGCUACACUCCUUGACCUUAUAUGAGUACAAUGAAUAAACUCGAUCUUGAAUUUAAAAUAUUUAUACUAUUAAUGAAAGUAUAAAUAAACUCAAGUGUUAAUGAAUUUAUCGUUUUGAUGGGAUAUGGAUUCUACGAAACUAAUUUCAACGAUCCAACCGUUAAACUUGUUUGUAUAUGUUUCGAGAUCGCAUACGCAAAAAAAGAAAAUUCAGAGAUCAAGUAACGGGACAAAAUUUUCAAUGGUUAUAAACGAAAAAUCACGAUUUAACGGUUAUUUUAACUCGGAUUUUGAUGAUUUUUACAGCUACACUCCUUGACCUUAUAUGAAUACAAUGACUGAACUCGAUCUUCAAUUUAAAAUAUUGACACUUGUUAUACUUAAUGAAAGUAUACCCAUUCUAUAAAACUAGUUUCAACGAUCCAACCCUCAAAUAUGUUUGUAUAUACUUUGAGAUCGCAUACGCCAAAAAUUGAAAAAAAACAAACAUUCAAAGAUCAAGUAACGGGACAAAACUUUUCAACGGUUAUAAAACAAAAAAUCACAAUUUAACGGUUAUUUUAACUUCGAUUUUGAUUAUUUUUUAUAGUUACACUCCUUGACCCUAUAUGAAUACAAUGAAUGAAUUCGAUCUUCAAUUUAAAAUAUUUACACUAGUAAUCUUAUGUUUUACUUAAUGAAAGUAUAAAUAAACUCUAAGUGUUAGUGAAUCUAUCGUUUUGAUGGGAUAUGCAUUAUACGAAACUAAUUUCAAUGAUCCAACCAUCAAACUUGUUUGUAUAUGCUUCGAGAUCAGAUACUUGACAACGAAAAUAUCCUAACAACGUGGAAGAGACUCAUUUUCAUGAAUCAUACCGUUGCCUACUAAGUUUGUUAAUUAUGUCAAUACCGACGAUGACCUAACAGAUGAUGACUUGGAAUAAAUAUAUUAAUUAUUUUAUAUAUUUUAAGUAUUAGACUAUGCUUCAAUUAGUAUGUGAUGAUAUUUUAUAAUAAAAUUAUAUUUAUGUUUUUUAUUACGUAUUUCAUUCAAGUUAAAUUUUAUUUAUUAAAAUCUUAAAAUGUUAUAUGAGAUAACACAAAAAAAAAGUUGGUUUUUUUUUUCUUUGGGUUAAAUAUUAGGCAGGAAAUGGAUGGAUAUCUUGAAAUAUUAGGCUAGAAAUUUCCCAAACAUUAGGCGGGAAAUGGAUGGAACUCUUGAAAUAUUGGGCGGGAAAUUUCCCGCUUGUUUUGCACAGGCAAUAUGGGUUAAACUUAGUGUCGGUUUUAACCGACGCUAUAAUCUUUUAAUUUGACGCAAGUUUCAUUAAACCGAUGUGAACUUCAAAAAGUGUGUCAGAAGUUGGUGUCGGUUAAAACCGACACCAACAUUAAUUUAAACCGACGCCGUAUUUUCAAUAAAGAGUGUCAGAAAGUUGACUGGUUCAUUUAACUCGACGUGAAUAUCAGUAAAGUGCAUUAGGUUAGCGUCUGUACAUUUAAUUCGACACCAGUGGCUUUUAAUUCGACGUCAGUCAAUCCAUGUCGGUUUAAACUGACGCCCACUAAGUACCCAUAUUUAAACCCCUCCUUCCCAUUUCAUCUGUGCUUUCAUUUCUCCCCCAAUUUCAGUCUUUCUUCUUCUCCUUCCCCAUUUCAUCCGUGCGUCCCUUUCUUCCUCCUUUUCAGUUUUUCCCCUUCUCCUUCCCGAUUUGCUAUGGAUCACCAUUUUGAAGACCAACAUUAUGAGGAACUCCAAUUCGAAGAGGAAGAGCUCGAAGGUGGUUCAUUUUUAAAUUAUUAUGAUUAUUAAUUUUAGUUUCUGUUUUGUAUUUUAACUAGUUUUAUGCUUAAAUUGAAAAUUUAUUUUUGUUUCUUGGUUUUUAAUUAUUGUUUCUGUAUUUAUAAGGAUCAACUCAACGAAGACGCGAACCCUCAUUCCGAAUUGAAAAGAAAAACCUUGUUCAUUUGAUUCGUCUGGAAAAUGCAUUAGUGAUAAUUCUAGUGCAUUUUCAAAACAUGUAGCGGCAAAGGUUAGAGAUUACAGAAAUAUUCUGAUGGUGGCAUACUGGAAUAAAGAAAAAACAAAGGUAAAUGUUUCAUGAUUUAUUUUAUUAUACCUUGAAAUUUGUCUAAUAAAUUCUUUUAUUUUUCAGGAGAUUGCCGAAAAAAAUAAGUAUAAUCGGCAAUUGAAAACUAUGAACCACACAACCGGUUCAAAAUCUUUUGCAAGAGUUCGGAAAUAAUUUGUAUGAGUUGUACAUUUUUAGGAAUUACAGUUAAUUUUAAAUUUAAUAUAUAGUUGGUAGAAAUUUUAUUUUUAAACUGACGCCAAACAACUAAGACCAAAUUGGUGUUUAGCUCACACGCCAUAUUUAAAGCCUUUGUCGUUCUUUAGCCUAUAACGUGCGACCCUUUUCUCCAUUUACCAUUUAAAAGGCAUGACCUGCUUCCAAUUUUAAUUGUGGCAGUCAAAUCAUGUCUUCUCUUUGAAGAUUUCCACGCCACAGCAUCCAUACAAGUUGAACCUCAUUUGUUGUAACAUAUGACACAUAUAGAUAACAAAUAUGCUGUCAGAUAUGAUCGAAAUGCAAUGUAUCAAUGUGUAAAGUAAAUGCUAAAAGGUGUCUAUUCCGAAAUCUGUUGUUUCCAGAAUACGACGGGUCCAAGGUCUUCCCCUGACAGAUACAAGAGCUUCCCCUGAUAUUAUCAGUAUGUUGAGAGAGCCAGCUGUUGCAGAGAGCCUUGUUACGCUUACUUGGCCCUGCUGAUACCGGGAUUAUGCAGGCAUAUAUUCACUAGUAAGAUACGUUGCGUCGGCUGCUCCAUAUAAUCACUUGAACUUUCAUCUUACACCAUCAAAUUUACUAAAAUAUGAAAGUGAAAAUUCUGAUAUUUUUGUAUGUUAUAUGUUAAACAAUAAAAUUAAUUAAAAUAAUAAACCCAAAAUUUCAAUACAAGUACAGUUUUUUUAAGUGUAAAUCAGCACUUAUUCAUACAAUAUAUAUAUAUAUAUAUAUAAUUUACUUAAACCUGCCACUAAUUGUUGGGUCCACUCCACUUGAAUUUUAACGAUCCAAACCGUCUAUUUUUCAAGUUUCACUUCAGAUAUAAGCUUUUUCUAAGAACUUCUCUGAAUGCCAAGCUCUAGCUCAAGGUGCAGAGCCUCUUGGAAACUGAGAAAGAGUCAGACAUUUUUAUUUUGAGAAUUUGAGUCCAAGCUGACUGAUGCUGCCCAAAAGAGAGAUCUAGAACUGAGGCAUGAGAUGGACUUGGUAUUGUUAAGAGUGUGAAAGGUUGUGUUGUUAAUAAUACGAAGGGGUUCCUCGUAAGGAGGGUUUGGUGCUCUGUGGCUUACGAGAGCAUUCGAGAACUUGCGUCACCGUCACUCCGGCGUGGCCUGUUGUUUCUGGGGGAUUCAUUUCGACUCCCUACGGAAUCUUGGAGAUCGAGAGUGGACCUGAUUAAAGGAGAUCGAGGGGGGAUCUGACUGAGGAAGAAAUGGGCGAAUUCGUCUUAAACAUCGAGGGCGGAUCUGAUUGUGAGAGUGGGUCAGAAGGUCAGAGGCGAAGUGGUUAAAGGAAGGUAGAUCUGGUGGGAUCUGGCUGCUGUAGAGACAGGGAUAAAGGAUCUGGGUUCACGGUUCGGAUCCAAGCUAAGACUGUCUGAGAAAGAACUUGGGGGUAUCAGUAUUGAAAGAAAGGAUAUGGAAUGAGCUUUGGUGGGGUUCCAAUAUACCAUGAUUGCUGAAGUGCUUACAACUAAAGAGAUUAAGGGAGAGAUCUUUAUUGACUGCUUUAUGUCGCUAUGGCGGGGAAGGGAGGGAGUUUCUAUUAGGGAUAUAGGAGAAUGAAGGUUCCUGGCUCGAUUUGCAGGUCAACGUGAUAUGCAGAGGGUUCUGGAUGCAGAUCAACCUUGGUCCUUCAGAAAUGACUUAGUAAUGGUGGCGGAUAGAACUAAGCAUGGCCUAAACAGAUGGGCACCACUGUCUCUAGGUACCUUCUGGGUUCAAUUUCACAACGUUCAUGUGCUUAGUAUGACACAGGCGGUUGCAGACUCCAUCGGUGGACUGGUGGGAUGUGUUCAAAAGGUGGAUAAGUCGGGGAGUCAUGACUGCAUAGGAAGGUUUCUUCGGGUGAAAAUCAGGUUCAAUGUUCGAGAGCCACUAAUGUGAGGAACGUUUCUACGGUUCCCUGAUGAAGGUAAGGUCUAGGUUGACUUCAAAUAUGAAGCACUACCUAAAUAUUGCCUCAUCUAUGGGAUGUUAGGACAUGCCACACAAUUAUGCAAAGAUAGGCAGGUUGAAGAAAGAGGGGAAAUGGCUAGCUACGGGGAGAAGGAUGAGGAGUGUGGAUUUCAAGGGCUGGAUGCAAUAACGGAUCUUAGGGGAAAUCCUCUGGGUAAUGGGUCUCGAAGAAGGGCCUCCAUAGAUUCAAGUGGGAGAGGGAGAAGCUCGGAUGGAGGGCUGGAAGAUAGAUGUGUUGAGAUUGAUGGGGGAAGACGCUCUGGGCGCUCGUCGACGACAUCAGGAAUGGGUGGGCACCCUCAGUUAGGGAGAGCUAGAUCCCAUAACGGAAGUGAGUGCACUGCCUUGAUGGAGGAUGGUGUGGUUGAUACUGGAUCGUCGCGUAGCAAGCCCAAGUGGUCAUCAAGCAAGGGAGGCAAGGGAGACAAUAAACUUGCUGACAAAAUUCGUUGCCAGAGAAAGGAAGAGGAAGAUGCCAGAAGGGCUAGAGAAAUUGCGUAUGAUGCAGGGUCAAUUGGUCCAGGGGAUAUGGUAGCUGCUGGAGUUGAACAGGUUGUCCUGCUCGAGAUUCUAGAGGAGCUCAAUGGGGAGAUUAUGGUUAAUGUGUCAGCCGGUAUAAGUCAAAGCUUUGACCUUAAUUCUUUGCCGAUUACUGUUGACAGCUCCGCAAGCGGGAUAAUGGGACGGGGGGAGAAAGAAGGGGGACAAAUUUUGAAAAAUGGAAUGGUAGUUGGGGGAAGGGCCACAGAUGAUGACCCUUUUGAAUUGGCACCUAUUAUCGAAGCUGUGAUGAACGAGAACAAAGGGAGAAAGAGGGGGGCUCAAGAGGUAGAAUGCUCGGAGCCUGGUGGAAAUGAACCAAAAGCGAAUAGGCCAAGGAAAUGCUUAUUCAGAGAGGUCGGGGAGACUACCCUUGAAGGGUCUCCUAAGUACCAAUGAAGCUAAUCAUUUGGAACUGUCAGGGUAUCGGGGGUGACCUGACAGUUGACAACCUGUUGGAGUAGAAUCGGCUCCUCACCCCUGACAUUGUUCUACUAAAAACAAAAAACAAAAGUAGACGUUUUGAGUAUCUUCGAAGAAGGUUGGAUAUGGGUUUCAUGCACGCGGUGGAGCCUAAAGGGAUCGGCAGGGGCAUGUGUAUGUUUUGGAGGGAUGUUUCUAUGGUAACUUUGGUGAAAUCUGAGGAAUUUGUUAUUGAAGCGAGACUCUGGGAUGGGAAAAUCAAUAGCCACUAGAAGCUGUUUGCCAUUUAUGGUAGCACUGAUGAGAAAAAAAUGAGGGAGCAAUAGGGGAACCUAAGCAAAAGAUUUGAAAAUGAGAGGGACCAAAAACUAAUUUUCGGAGAUUUCAACGAUAUUUUGUGUAAUGAGGAAAAUGAAUGAGGUAACUACAGAGUGACUUCUAGUCUGAGGGAUUUUAGGGAGUUCGUGGCCAAAAACAAGCUAAUGGAUUUGGGCUUCGAGGGAUAUCCUUUCACAUGGAGGAACAAUCGGGACGCUUUGCCAAUCCAGUAGAGACUGGAUCGUGGUCUGGCUACAAUGGGUUGGAACAGCUUGUAUCCAGACUCAAAGAUCAAGAACGUGAUGUUGGAAGGAUCGGACCAUGCUAUGCUCUUUCUAACCACAGAGAAGGUGUGGCUGCGGAAUGGGAGGAGAUUCAUGUACGAUGCCAGAUGGAGUAAAAUGCAAGAUUGUCAUGAUCUGGUAAAUGAGGACUGGAAGGACAGGUUCAGAGGUUCCCAUGCCUUCAGAUUCUGUGAAAAUAUUAAAUCUCUCAGAAGGCGUUUAAAAGUCUGGUACAUAGUGAGAGGUAGGAAUUCUAAACAAGUCAUCGAGCUGCUGAAAAGUGAGAUAAGAAGUGCGUACGAAACCAAUGAUUUUGCCUCAGACAGGGUCAAAUAAUGGGAGUUUGAGUUGAGGUUUGCUCAAACAAAUGAAGAGAGUUAUUGGAAAGCCAAGUCAAGGAUCCAGUGGUUAAAGGAGGGUGACAAAAACAUGAAAUUCUUCCAUGACAAACUGUGAAGCGCCAGAAAUCCAAUCAAAUCCGAGGCCAGGAGGACCAGAACAGAGUAUGGUGUGAGGACAAAGCGGGAAUAUGCUCCACGGCGAUAUCCUACUUUACGAAGCUCUUUUCAACUAGUUGUCCUAUGUAUUGGAAUGAGCCAAACUGCGGCAUAGGGCUAGGGUGUCAAAUGAAGAUAACAUCGCCUUAAUGGCAAAGGUGACGGAAUAAGAAAUUAGGACGGCAGUGUUCCAAAUCCCUCCAACGAGGGCCCCAGGGCCUGACGGUUUCUCUGGCUGUUUUUACCAAGACCACUAGGGGACUGUUGGUUUGGAUGUUGUAAGGAUCAUCAAUGCAUUUUGGCACUCCGGUCAGCUCUUGAGGAAGCUUAACCACACCAAUCUAGUGCUUAUUCCUAAGGUGAAAUGCCCGAAAAAUAUGUCCCAAUAUAGGCCUAUUGCUUUGUGCAACGUUAUCUAUAAGAUCAUCGCAAAGGUCCUAGCUAAUAGAUUGAAGAAGGUGAUGAUUAUGGUUAUUAGUGAUAAUCAAUCUGCCCUUGUUGCUGGAAAACAUAUCCAGGAUAACAUUCUUAUGGUGCACGAAAUUCUGCAUUCGCUGACACAUCAAAAAAAUGAGGACCAAGAGGGCAUGGCUAUCAAGUUGGACAUGGCCAAGGCGUAUAACUGGGUGGAAUAAGGCUUCCUCCUAUCUAUGAUGAAAAAGCUGGGGUUUGAGUCAACGUUCUAUGGGUGGAUCAAGGAAUGCAUCUCCACUACUUCCUUCAGCAUUCUGGUGAACGGGAACCCGACUGGGUAUUUUACGCCGGAGAGGGGUUUGAGACAGGGAGAUCCCUUAUCUCCCUAUUUAUUUCUUAUUUGCACUGAAAGCCUAUCCAUGUUAAUCGGAAAGGAGUUGGAAAGUGGUGCCCUCCACGGGUUUAGGAUAAAGCCUAACGGGAUCCCAGUGACGCACCUGUUCUUUGCAGAUGACUCAGUAUUGUUCGGCAUCGCGUCGGAGGAGAAGGCGCUCUGCAUUGUUGAAGUGCUGAAGAUCUAUGCAUGUGUAUCCGGGCAAGUGGUUAAUCUAGAUAAAUGCUCUGUGGUCUUUGGGUCCAAAACCAAGUCUCGCCUAAAAAAAAAAAUAGUGGGAAUUCUAGGAAUUCAAUGUAAGGAUGGGUUUGGUAAGUACCUAGGGUUGCUUGCUGAUUUUGGGUUAUCAAAAAAAGCUGUUUUUGAAGAGGUUAGAAACAGAAUCGAGACCUGGAUGAUGGGAUGGGCUGAGCAAUUUCUAUCCCAAGCAAGAAAGGAAGUCUUAGUUAAGGCGGUGGCCAUGGCUAUGCCAAACUACGCUAUGAGCUGCUUUAAGCUACCCAUUGGGGUCUGUAGGGACAUGGAGAAAGGCAUCCAUAAUUAUUGAUGGAGGGGUAGUGAUCAAAGGAAGAGUGUCAACUGGAUAUCCUGGGAUAGGCUAACGAAGAAGAAGAAUGUUGGAGGCCUCGGUUUCAGAGACAUACAAUGUUUCAAUCUGGCUUUUCUGGCUAAGAUUGGUUGGCGGCUGGCCCAAAAGCCGAUGUCUCUCCUUGCAACGGUCCUCAGGGAUAAAUACUAUCCAGGUGGCUCUUUUAUGGCUGCAAGUAAGGGUAAGUGCUCCUCUUGGGGAUGGAAAGGCAUAUUUGAAGCCCGCCAUGUGCUAAUGCAAGGGCUAAUGUGGCGGGUGGGGGACGGGGCUGGUAUAAAUAUCAGGGAUGAUCCUUGGUUCCCUAAACCAUCUACAUUUAAAGUUAGGCCGCGGGUUGGUUUGCAAAGCACUUUGGUGUGCGAUUUAAUUGAUCCGUUUCUGAAAGAAUGGAAUGUGGAUCUGGUCUCAUCGGGUUUUUGACAAGGAGGAUGUUGCUACAAUCAUGGGGAUACCUUUGAGUAGGAUGGGAUGCGAUGACCGACUGGUGUGGCACUAUAAUAUUAAUAGGGAAUACUCGGUCAAGUCCGGGUAUGGAGUGGCGGUGAAUCUAAUGGAUAACGGGGCCCUGGGGAAAAAGGGAAGAGGAAUGCCCAGUGAUAAUACUAAGAAUCCUCAAGAGUGGAUGCAGAUUUGGAAGUUAAACGUUCCAAACAAAAUCAAGCUCUUCAUAUGGCGGUGCUACAACCAUGCUCUGGCUGUAAAACGUAAUCUGAAAAGGCACCACAUGAGGGUCGAUAACGUAUGCGGGGUCUAUGGUAUGGUGGAGAAUCAGAAAAUCAUUUAUUCUUCCACUAUGCCUUAAGCCAUCAGUUCUGGUUUUGCUCUCCACUCCAUCUUAACUCCCACGGUCUGGCAGGUAAAGAUUUCCGAGAAAGUUGGGGGAAUCUUUGUAAGCAGGUCAAGAAGUGCGGCCCUGCGGACGAGAUAUCGUAGGAGGUUGCCUAUCGCCUGUGGCAACUUUGGAAAAAUAGAAAUGAUAUUGUUUUUAACGGAGUAUAUCGGAGCCCCAUUGAAAUCCUAGAGGUGUGGAAGAAAAGCAUUUCUGAGUACAGAGAUGCCUUGGACUGGUCCGCCUCGGAUAAUCGCCUUGUGGAUGAUCUGCCUGUGAGGGUUGUAAGUUAGAAGGAAUCUUCUUGGAGGAAGCCGGAGUUUGGGACCAUUAAAGUCAACACUGAUGCGGCUUGGUGCAAAACUAGCCUUCGGGUAGGUGUGGGCUGGGUUUGCAGGGAUUUUGCCGGGUUACUUCAAGCAGCCGGCGACUCGGGGGUGAGCUUCUUCACUCUGCUGCCACUACUAAAGCGUGUGCAAUCCGGGAAGCUUUAUUCGCUUGUAUUGAGAAUGGAUUCGCGAACGUGGUAGUCGAGUCUGAUGCUAAGAUGAUAAUCCAAAUGAUUAGGAAGGAAGCAAAUUGGGACUGCAACCUUGAGUGCAUACUUGGUGAUAUUGAGAUUCUAGCUCGCAGGAUGACGUCGGUGAUGUUUUCCUAUGUGCCUAGGGAGAGAAAUUGUGCUGCUCACUCGGUGGCUAAGUAUGCUUUUAUUGAGGGUAGUAAUUUUGUCUGGGACUGUAUUGGCCCGGAGUUCUUAUUUAAUAUUCUCGCUAAAGAUGUAAACAUUCUCAUUCGUAUUUAAUAUAUUCUAUCUUUGGAAAAAAAAAAAAAAAAGGUUGUGUUGUUAGAGUUGGUAUUGUUAGGAGUGCAACGAGGUAAAUGUCUUAAGGUGAUAUAAGAAAUAAGAUUGUACUGUUUCAUUAAGAAAUUCUACAGUAAUACAAUUAGGUAAAUGUCUUUUUUGAUCAGAAGGUAAAUGUCUAAGGUGAUAUCUCUGCCUGCUCUCCCUCUAGACCUCUUUGUUUGUCUUUUUCGUAUUAUUAACAGGAGUCACUGCAUACGGAGCGUGCUGCCCAGAUCGAAUGGGCCCUUAACCAAACAGUUCUAGACAAGAUAGCCUUGAAGAAGGCUAAGGAUGAAACCGCUCAUGAGUGCCAAAAGGACCUUCAAUCUGCCUUUCAGGAUCGUUGAUACCUUGUCUGAGUUGAAGGCUAAGAGGGUGAGAGGAAAAAAGAGCUUAAGAAGUUGAAGGAGUACCUCAAGGAAUCCACCAGACGAAGUUAAAAGAGGCUGAAGAUUACCGUUAUUGCUGGGCAUAUGAAGACUGCUUGCGGAGGACGCCUCAUAGCUUAGGAUGGACAUGUUUGAGAUAUGGGUAAGAAUCAUUGCUUAAGGGGAGGAUGUGAAGUAUGAGUACCCUGAUACAGAUUAUUGGUAUAUAUUUUGUGCAUUCGGGGCCAGAAUUCGAGCCGCUAUUGGGGAGAAAGAUAAAACAUGUUUGAAAUGUGAGUAUCAUACAAUCCCAUAGGUCGUAACACUGGUUUGUAGUUAAGCUAUGGAUCAUAUGCAUAUUUUCCCCAACGAAUUGGUAAUGGAUAAUCAAACCUACCAAUGGUGGUGUGGGAUGCCAAUCAACAAAACUUAUGCUGUCAAAAAAGUAAAUCUCAUAGCAAACCCUGAAACAGAUUAUUGGUAUGUAUUUUGUGCAUUCGGAGCCAGAAUUCGAGCCGCUUGGGGAGAAAGAUAAAACAUGUUUGAAAUUUGAGUAAGUAUCAUACAAUCCCAUAGGUCGUAAAACUGUUUGUAGUUAAGCUAUGGAUAAUCAUAUGCAUAUUUUCCCCAACGAAUUGGUAAUGGAUUAUCAAACCUAACAAUGGUGGUGAGGGAUGCCAAUCAACAAAACUUAUGCUGUCAAAAAAGCAAAUCUCAUAGCAAAGUAGGAAAGCGACAAGGUGUGUACCUUGAACCUAGCUCACUUUGAAUUAUGCCUCAUUUUUUUCAUACUCUUAUUUUAUAUCUUUAAAAUUUCUCCCUUCAUCAUAUUCUCAGCACAAUAAAGGGAAAAAAAGUUUCUAUUUUCCUCCUAUAUCUAAUCUAAUGUUCCUCUAAUUCUUACGAUUGUGGAAAAAGUCAGUAGAUUGGAUUGAAAAGUUUUCUAAUUUCACUAGUUUAUUAGGUAAAAACUAGGGUUCUUUAGAUAUAAGCUCUUGAAACUCAUAUUUUUCAAAUAAAAACUCACCUAAUUUUAAACAUUCAAAUGACACCCAAAUUUCAAAUAGAUUGCCAUGUUGACAAAUAUAUAACCAACUAUUACAACACAUUUACAACUUAUGCCACAAAAUCCUAAUUUGGUUAAUAAAAAUUUUAUUACUCAUCCUAAUUGUGAUGAGCAAUUAAUCCAUAUGGAUAUUUUACCUUUCUUGUAUCAUAAAUAUUAGUAACAUAUAUAAAUUAAUUUACCAUGUUAAAAAUAGACACAUCUCGUACAAAAAAAAAAAAAAUUGAAUCAUGUAUUUACCUACAUAUAAAUUAAUUUACCUAUUUAUAAAAUAUUUAUACUAAUUCACCUACAUAUAAAUUAAUAUACCUACUUAUAAAAUAUUUAUACUAAUUUACCUACAUAUAAAUUAAUUUACCUACGUUUAAAUUAAUUUACCUAUUCCAAUAAAAAUUAGUGAUAUUAGAUAAUGUUUGAAUGUUGUGGGUUUGUUGUAGGCAAUUAAAUAAACUUGUAAUCUAAUGCCCAUAAAUCAUGUAGGUAAAUUAGACCUUUUAAAUUUUGGUCUGAUGGAAUAGGUAAAUUAGACUAUUUUGUAGGUAAAAAUUGCAUGGAACAUAUAGCUUUUGUGGAUUAGAGUAUAUAUUCAAUAGAUGAAGUUGUUUUAGGUUAAUUGUUGUGUUGGUAGGUAAAUUAACUUGUAUAUUUAAUGCACAAAAUCAUGAAAUUAGUAUUAUUAUUUUUCAAUCGGCACCUUAUAACAAUUUGAAAGGUAAUACAUUGAAUGAAUGGCAUGAAAUAUUUUUGAAAAAUAAAUAUAAUUAAUUAAAUGAAUAACAAGUAUCUGAUCCAAAACCUCAAUCCAAGUAUUAAUAGAGGUAGCUUAGGCAUUUGGAAAAUACACAAUUUGAAAAGUCAAACUUAAUUAAAGAAUUUGCUUAGUUUAAGCCUUAUCAAUGGCUUUAGUUAAGAAAACAAUAGGAGAUGAGUUUUAGGGUCUAGGGUUAGUGUCAAGGGUUAAUGUCAAACUUUCAAUAAAAACUAUAUUAAGUGUCUAAAGAAUUAGGAAGGCCUGAUUGUAUAUUUUUGUCGUAUGCCUCAGUUGCAUUGAUUUGAGACGACUCUAUCUUUGUUAAGAGUAUAAAUCUUACAUUAAAAAAAAGAGAAAUUAGGUUUACAUCAUUCUUUUUGCUAUUCCAUUGAUUAAAAUCCUAUUCAUUUUCAAUUUUUUAUCAAGAUCCUUGGAUAUUACACUAGUAGAAAAAACACUUUGCGUGAAGUAGGUACCUUCGUUGCGCAAAGUCAAAAAUCGUUGCCUAAGGGUUUGCACGACGCAACCUUCAUCGCGCACUAACCAUCACGUCAAGACGGUGAUUAUAGGGCAUGCACAACGAAUAAGUAACAUGCGUCGCUCAAAGACACUUUGCGCAACACACGUCAUACGUCGGCUUUGCGCGACACACGUCCUGCGUCGUGCAAAGUGUCUUUGCGAGACGCAUGACGGGUGUCGCACAAAGUGACUUUGCACGACGCACGUCCUGCGUCACGCAAACCCUUUUUUUUUUGUUUUGGUCAAAAAUAUUUUUUUUUAAUUUUUAAUAAAUAUUGUAAUUAAAUUCUAAACAAUAAUUAAUUAACCAAGCAAAAGUAUUUAAUUAUAAGAUAUAUGAAAUGUACAUACAAGAUGUCCAACAAAAAAAGAAAAAACUACAAGUAGUUUUCUAGGUUUGAUACAUUAGGCUACUAGGUAUCGACAUGACGAGGUGGCUCUAAGGUCGAAGGUGGAGUAAGAUGAAAAGCUGGUAGCGAGAUUUGGAGUCCAGAGAAGUAGCCUCAUUAAGGGGUGUAGGCUCCCCAAUCAAUGGAGCACUCACAGCUGGAGCAGUAGAUGCUGAUAAUGCGGGAGGUGCAUUGGUCACACUCCGACGACGAGUGAUCAACUGCAACAUCUAUACAUUUUUUGAACCAUAAAAAUAUAACAUUAGAAACUAAUCAUUUCUUGUAUUUGAAACUAGAAGAAAAAAGCAAAGAAAACUGACAUGAGGAAAUUAAAGUUGCUUUUGCAUAUCCAUGAGCCAUUAUAAAGAAAUAAUUGCAGCAUUAUGAAGUAAUAGCUUUUGCUAAAUUUGAUCAUUUACCCUUUAAGGAAAAAAAGUUAAAUUUGUUAUUUGCAAGCUAAAUCCUUCAUCUCAUGCUUACGAAAUUAAUGAUAAUUUCCUGAACAAAUUAAGCUAAAUCCAAUGGUAUAUAAAUAACGUAUUCCACAAAUUAUACGAUCCCAUUAAUUAACAACAAAAAGUAAAGAUCGAACUUUUUCAGUUAACACUAAUGGGAUAUUGUAUUGAGCUUGAGACUUACGAGUGAAGGGAGCAGGUACCAGCAGGUUCACAAGUCCGAUAAGUUUGCCACCAACGAGUUCUGGGAUUGCUGACGUGAUGACCUGCAAAAUGUAGAAAGUAAUUAAGCCAACACAAAUUAGAAACGUGUUAAUGCAUAGAAACCCAUGCUCCUGAAUUCAUACUUUUUACAGAGUAAAAUGCCAGAGUCUAGAGUCACAAACCUUUAAGCAGAAGACUGUUCCGACUUUGAAUUGCUAACGAAGCAAUCUGUUGAAUCAUUUGGAAGAGGAAAGUGUUGGUAAAUUGAUCGAGAAACUACCAUGUGAACGAAAAACUACCAUGUUGAUUCAAAACCUACCCAAUUAGUUAACAUGUUGAUUCAAAAUCCACAUAUAUAAUCAACAUAAGCAGACAUGUAUGGCUAAGUGGAAGUUAAAUUAAAAAGGAAACAACCAGAGCAAAAUUCCAAGAGUUAUUUGGAACAAGAAGCAGAGAUUGAAAAUAGAUAUGCCACUAGGUCACCCAACAAAAAAAAUACGAACCACAUAGAAUCCUAAUACAUUUUGACUUAUAACUACUGUAUAGAUACGCUAACAUAUGUGUGGAUUUAGAACAAGAAGCAGGUUUUGGUGAUUACAUGCCUCUAAAAAUGUGAUUCAAAUCCUGUUAGAUCAUCCAGUUAGAAAAACCUAGCAGAUCCAAGGGCAAAGAAACAUAAACAGGUGAAUAUUAAUGAUGACGAUGAUCAUAAUAAUUUUUAAAGAGUUCACAACAAAAAAUAGCAAUUGCUAAAUCUGUAUAACGAGAUAAAUCCACAUGGAUGGAGAAAACCCAUAACAAGUUGGGAUCAAGUCACAUAGGUUUUACCUUGGAAACUGAAUACUAAAUGAACAUUCACAUGCUCCUUGUGAAGUGGUGGUUUCAUUCUUCCUCGCCUCCUAUCACUUCCACCUUUUCAGUCAACAGAGUGAUGUUUGUGAAGAGAACCUCUGCACAAAAGAAAACACAACAGAUUCGGAAAACAUUUCAGUCACUAGAUAUGCAAAUUGACUAAAACUAGUUAUGUGUGCUCAGGUUUGCUCUCAUCACAUAACAGCUGCAAUGCAAACCAACUCAUGGAAGCAUGAAAUUUCUCAUGUAUGACAGUAGAAGAUGAAUGAUGCCAGGUUUAUGAUAUGCAAGACAAGCGACAAUUUGUAGUUGAAUGAUUAGAAAGCUAAGUGAAAGAAGCGUGUUUCUUAUCGGUCUUCUUGGUAAACUUAUAGCCUUCGCACUAACAUAGGUACGAGGGGCUGGCACCAAGCGGUUCUGCAGGCAUUCCCUGUGUCUCCUGAGCCUACAAAAAUGUACAAAAAAAAUUUGUAUCAAUACGAAAUUAAUACUCUGUUUUUCCCAUUGAAACAACAAAUCUUAAUUAGUUAUCACACAACCAUCAACAUUGCUUACAAUUCCCAAGUCAUUGAAAAUUCUUACAUAGCAUAUUGCUUCAGUUACAAGCUUUAUGCCUUCAUCCCCUCUGCAUCAAAGUAAAUACCCAGAAAUCCAAAUGGGGACGUCACUGACUCACUACAAAUAACCAUAUAAUAGAAUACUAUUACAGGUAUAAAUAUGCAAACGCUAUAAAAAAUGCUAUUAAAGGCAUAAAAUACUAUUUGAUAGCAUUUUUAAGAAAAAAAAUGCUACAAAUGAAUGCUAUUACCUAUUAAAGAGGGUUUGUGGUGUAGUGAUAAACACACGGUGGCUCAAUUCGAACUCCCCAACGAUGCCCCCGCCACCAAUUCCUUGGUGCCAUGAUGAGGGAAGUCAUACCACCUACUCCUAAACUGUAGAAAACUAUCCAGGAAUUCAUGCAACUAUUUAUCACUAGCCACUGACAAGAAUGGGGCAACAGCAACACAAAAACAGUGAAAAUAUUAUCAAGAAAUUGAUUAUUCAGUGUGAAGUUUCCAGCUUUUGCAAGUCAAGAUGUAAAUGACAUAGCAGUAAUUUUACCUUGUCGCCGAAACCUUAGGUUUAACUUCAGCAAGCCAUAGAGCUCUCUGUUAAGAAGAUCCACCACUCUCCGCAACUCCAGGGCGUUCAUUCUGCCUUCGUCGACGCCGAGCCCAGCCACCACCGCCUCAUCCUGCGGCAAGUAAUUUACAAAAUUGCCAACCUAAGCUCUGCAGCGGUGUAAGUUUCAGCAUUGGAUUGCGGCUUGGACAUUCGCGUGGCGGCCCGUCGAUUAGAACGAGAGGGUGAGAGACAACCAACAGAGUAGUUGUCCACCAAAAAAUAAUUACAAGACGACACGUGGUUUUUUGGGAAAAAGAUGACAAAAAUACCCUUGAUGUAUAACGGGAUUCCUACGCGCAAGUAGCGGGCAAUCAUCCUUAACCAAGUCAAAAAUGCUUCAAAAAGGUAACCAAUUCCAAAUUAUCUCAUCCAUCCUCAUUUAAGGUAAUUCCCAAAAUCUAAUUUAUUCCAUUUAACUAAUCAAUUAGCUAAAUAAUAUAUUUUUUCAUAUUUCCUAAAAUCUUCCUUUAAAAUCAUAAUAAUUGACUAAUUAAGGAAUUAAUUCCUAAUCAAUUCCUUAAUUGUCAAUUAAAACAUCCAUUCAACCCCAAAAACAAGUGAAGGGCCGGCCACCUAUUGUUAGAAAAGGAAUUGGCCAUGUUUUGUUUAUCUCUUGAUAUUUGCCCAUUUCAUCCCAUUAAUUAGCUAAUUCAUUUGGUAAUAAUUUUAUUUUGCCAAAUUAAUUAGUCAAUUAAUCACAUAACUCCCAAAAUCAUCUUAAAUCAUGAACAAAACCCACAAACAAGGCUAUGUGGCCGGUCCUCUCUCACCCUAAGAGGCCGACCACUCCUCUAUAAAAAGCCCCACAUUUCUCACCAAAACCUAGUUGCAACUCUUGCUAAAAUUCUCUAGAAUUCUCAAACACUUUUUCUCUCUAAAUUCUAACUUUGGCAUCGGAGGUUCUUCAGCCAAAGCCCCCCCCAUUCAUCUUGGGCGCGUGAGGCUUUUGGCCUUAACCUAAGAUGCUAGUUGUUUUGUAGGUGCAAAAUUGUCCAAGAUCGAGAAGGAGAAAAUUUGCAUCCACAGUAGUGGUGGUGGUUGGAUUCAAGAUUGUGAAGAGGAAAGAGAGAGGGAGAGGAUGAGCGAGAGGGAAGAUUUGGUUCAAGAUUUGGGGUUCACGGGAAAGAGAGAGGGACGGAUGAGCAAGAGGGAAGAGAAAUAGGGGUUCAAGAUUUGGGGUCCAAACUUGGAAAAUUGAAAAAACAGCGCCUAUUUUUCACUAUUGCACCGCCAAAUUUAUCACAACUAGCGCGACCCAGGUAUACAAUUUGACCUCGUGCAAAGUGGUUUUGUGCGACGAUCACAUUAAGGCGUCGCGCAAGGGAUUUUUUUUAAAAAAAAAUUACUAUAAAAAUGACUGAAAAUGUGACUUUUCUCCUUUCAAAUUCAAAUUUUUCUUUACAUAAACCCCACAAUAAUUUUUUUUUAAUAUAUAUCAUUCAAUUUCUUAAGUGUUAUACGCAUUGUAUGAAACUAGUUUUAAAGAUCCAACCGUCAAACUUGGUUGUAUAUUCUUUGAGAUUGCAUGUGCCAAAAAUCACAUAAAACAAACAUUCAGCUAUCAAGUAACGGGACAAAACAUUUUGAUGGCUAUCAACAAAAAAUCACAAUUUAACGGUUAUUUUAACUCCGAUUUUGAUUAUUUUUUAUAGCUACACUCUUUGAUCCUAUAUGAAUGCAUUAAAUUAAUUCGAUCAUCAAUUUAAAAUACUUACACAAGUAGAUACCACAAAAUCUUAUGUUAUACUUGAUGAAAAUAUUAAUAAACUCUAAAUGUUAGGGAAUCUAUUGUUUUGAUAGGAUAUGCAUUGUACGAAACUAAUUUCAACGAUCCAAUCGUCAAACUUGUUUGUAUAUACUUCAAGAUCGCAUACGCCAAAAAUCACAAAAAACAAACAUUUAGAUAUCAAGUAACAUGACAAAACUUUUCGACGGUUAUAAAAAAAAAAUCACAAUUAACGGUUAUUUUAACUCCGAUUUUGAUGAUUUUUUACAGCUAUAAUCCUUGACCCUAUAUGAAUACAACGAACUAAUUCGAUCUUUAAUUUAAAAUAUUACACAAGUGGAUACCACAAAAUCUUAUGUUAUACUUGAUGAAAGUAUUAAUAAACUCUAGGUGUUAGGGAAUCUAUCGUUUUGAUGGGAUACGCAUUGUACGAAAUUAAUUUCAACGAUCCAACUGUCAAACUUGUUUGUAUAUACUUCGAGAUCGCAUACGCCAAAAAUCGCAAAAAACAAACAUUCAGAUAUCAAGUAACAAGACAAAUCGUUUCGAUGGCUAUAAACGAAAAAUCACGAUUUAACGGUUGUUUUAACUCUGAUUUUGAUGAUUUUUUACAGCUACACUCUUUAACCCUAUAUGAAUACAAUGAACUAAUUCGAUCGUCAAUUUAAAACAUUUACACAAGUGGAUACCACAAAAGAAAAAGGCAAUGCAAGAACCCCAAAAGAAAAGCAAAAGGGGCAAAAAAAAAAAAAACUUUGCGUGACGCACAAAACGUCGCGCAAACGGCCCUUACGCAACGGCACUUUGCGCAAUGAAGGAUGCGUCGCGCAAAGAUGUUUUGUGCGACGUAGGUGCACCUGGGUCGCGCAAAGUGCCGUUGCGCAAGGGCCGUUUGCACAAUGUCUUGUUUUGUACGUCGCGCAAACAUACUUUACGCGACGAAAUUUGCUCCGUCGCACAAGUUUCCAUCGCGCAAACAUGUUUUUCUACUAGUGUUAAUAACAUCAUUAAUUAUUUGAAUAAUAAAAUAUUUUUACUUUUAAAUAUAUUCCUUUAGUGUUAAAAAUGUUACAAUUAGUAUAUUUAUAUUUAUGGCUAAAUGUUUUAUCAUAUAUUUUUAUUUUUAGUUUGUACCUAUUUUUAAUUUGUACCAAUUUUUUUUUCAUUUUUAAUUUGUACCCAUAUAUUAGUUUCUUUUUGUGCCCAUAUUUUUUAAAGUUUUAUUUGUGUUUGUACCCAUGUGUAUACCAACACGUGAUAUUGUAUAUUUAAUCAAUAAUAGAAAAAUUACAUAUGGUAUAUUUAUGUUUUAUGCCUAAACUUUGUAUCAUAUAUUUAUAUUUUUAGUUUGUACCCACUUUUAAUUUGCAACAUUUUUUUUUAAAUUUGUAGUACUUUCUUUUUAGUUUUAUUUUGUACCCAUGUAUUAAUUUCUUUUAGCAUUUAUAUUUAAAAAAAAAUCAUUUGUACUCAUAAUUUUUUAAUCUUUUAUAUGUACCCUAAUUUAUUUAUAAUGUACCCAUUCUUCUUUAUUAAUGUACCACUUUGUUAUAUGUGAAAUGUACCAAUUUUUUUUUUUUUAAUGUACCAAUUUUUUUAACACUAUGGGUACAUUCUUUUGCCAUUAUUAUUUCUUAUUUUUACAUAUUUUUUUAUCCAUUUAUUCAAUCAAAAUGUUUGAAUUUUUUUAUUGUAAGUGUUUCUAAUAGUAUUAUAAUGAGGGAUUUUAAAUUUAUAGGAUUAUAAAUCUCACAAAAUAUCAAACAAUUAAUGUCAAAACUAUAAAAAUAUAAAUAUUAAUUGUAAUAUAAUUAGGUGUACAAAGUUAAGGGACUUUGAUCAAACUUUGAAUAUCGUUAAGGUUUUAGUUAAAGAAUGUUAAGGAUUAGGGACCGCAUCCAAAGUAUCCCUUAAAAAAUGAGAGACAUUGCAUGUGCUUAUAAAGAGUUGGGUUACUCAUCAUAUUGCCAAUUGGUUUUAUGGUAAAAUCUUAAUUUUCUUCGCUCUAUCAGAGCAAGUUAGUUAUUGUGUCAAAGCUCAAUAGCUAACUACACAUGUUUCACGCCACCCAAUUUAGAUUUGAGUUUUAGUCACUUCCACUUUUGUCUUCACGAAUGAACGAUUGAUAUUUAACUAAUUGAUUUUUUUUUCACUUGUUGAGAUUUAACUAAAUGAGCUUGUGAACGGGUGAGAUUUAAUUUGUGAAAAGAAAAUUUGCAAGCAAGAAUUUCCAAAUUGAAGUUUAGGGUAAAAAUAAUUCGUGUAAUAAAAUUAGCAAUUAAAAUUUAAACCAUAUAUAUAAUAAAUUGAUACCAUAUGGAUAACAACAAGCCUACUAAAGAAAAGAGAUGAUCAUAAACAUGACUUGAUCAUAUUCCCCCACUAAAUUAUCAUUAGGAUUGUACGUAUUUCAAAACAAAACUACAUUUAUAGAAUUUUAUUGUAUUAAUAUUAUACAACCAUAUUAGAAUAGCAUAACUCUCUGGUUUUUAUUCCAUUAAGCACACAGUUCAGACGAUUAAAGAGAUGCCUUCGUCUGUAUAGGAAUUUUGUCUGUCACUUCUAGUAUCAUCUCAAACGCAUUUUUCAAGCAUGACUUGAACUUUUGAGGAUCAAUAAAACCCUUCUGAGUUCCAAAGGAAAUCCUCAAGUCACCCAUAUAACUGACUAUUGUUAUGAUAAUGUCCUGCAAAACCAUCAAAAUCUCGAAACGUUUAAUAAGAUGCGUUAACUUACAGAGAGAAGCACACUGCUCUAACUUGACCUGUAUUAAUUACAUAUGCUCAAAAUCGGACACAUCAACGUACUAUAAAUAUAUACUUAACGACGUACCUGAGGUAUACCUAAAACCAUAAAGUAUACACCCUUGAUUGGAUGAUCAGCCAAAGCUAUUUUCUCGACAGGCCCUAUCAUAUUUGAUAUCAUGAGGCUCGACUUCAUCAGUCUGUUGUGCAUGUAUCUUGAUGCUGCCUGCAACAUCAAUACCAUUUCAAGGAGGAUUACUUUAAUUAUACCAUAUGUAUGGUUGAUGUUGUUUGCAACAUCGACCAUAAAUACAAUAUGUCUACGCAUAUUAUAACACAUGAAUUAAUAAAACCACAUAACAACAUGGCCAUCCUCAUACUGAAAGUGUAUUGAGAGAUGAUUACCCACCUCAUGGCCUCUAAGCUUGCUCACAAUUUCAAAUAGCUUGUUAUAGAAAUAAACAGAAAAAGAACUCCUCUUCCUCUUAAUACGCUUUUGUGCUUCGAAGACGAAGUCCAGCGGGUUCGAGAUUUCAGUUAAAUUGGGCAUGGAAACCGGCAUGAAAGCGAUUCGGUUCCCCCAUGGCAUCUCAGAAUUGGGUCCGAUCAUCUGCUUCACCGGCUUGUAAUCACCAUGAGUGAUCCUAGUAUUGACCAACACCAGCGCUCGGCAGCUUGCUGCGCUGCUUGAUUUUUGGUUAUUAUUAAUAAUCUCUUGCAUGUACAGUCUAGUAGCAAAGAACACUAUUCCACAUGUCACAUCAUUUAUCGUCUGCCAUAGCAAGACAAGAAAAUAUUUCGAUCACACAAAAUGAUAUAUAUGAACAAAAAAAUAUAGCGACCUAGCUAAUUAUAAUCACAUAUAGUAUCUUACCACGUUGAGCUUGUUCUUGAUUAGUUUGAUUUCAUCAAGGGAGAAUAUCAAGCUUGAUAUAUCCAUUGGAAGAAACUCAACUCCUGAAUUCCCAGAUCUUAUCGGUGUUCGAUCAUCUUCAACGAAAGCGCUCCAACCCAAAUCCUUCACAGCAUAAAAAGCUGAGGUCAAUUUCUGAGACACCCACCUCAAAGCACUCUUAUAAUAAUUGUCAAGUCCCUUUCUCUCGGAACCUCGGCGCGACGGAAAAGUUAGAGGAAGAGAAGGAUCGUCAGCUCUUUGCAGACAAGAAAGAAAAGCACUCAUGAAGGAGUAGCCAUCGCCAAGUGCAUGGUGAAGCUUGAAUAUUAGGUUACCCGCUGCAGUGGAAGUUGGAUAUUUGAUUAUGUGAACUUCCCACAGUGGUUUGUCUUCUGGGUAUUUCCAGUACUACUUUUGAUAUGUAGUCACCGAGAUAAAGGUCGUAAGACUCAGGUGGCAAUACUCCAGAUGGAAAAAUAGGGACGUGAACAUGAUCUGUGAGCUUCACCUCAACCUUCUUCCAUUGUUUCUCUCCGUCG